This 71480-nucleotide long non-coding RNA is filed under the name Theobroma cacao (cacao). Its description in RNAcentral is "long non-coding RNA (TCAC_LNC004229)". Lineage: Eukaryota; Viridiplantae; Streptophyta; Magnoliopsida; Malvales; Malvaceae. The record is from RNAcentral.
UCAAGUGACAAAUUGAACUACCGUGCCUUUAACAGGGUAAUGGUGCACUCAUUUGCAGAAGAUGAUUUACUGUUGCUUGAUGAAGACUCAGCUUCAGGCAGAUUCCUCCCUGUGAAAAACCCUGGCUGCUUUGGUUGAGGCAAUGCACUUUCACUGCUUAGCAUUAGAAUUACAGAAGACAUGUUUGGUCUAUCUUCUGGUCGUUGCUGCACGCACAGCAGUCCCACAUGAAUGCAUCGCUGCACUUCAGAUGGCAAGCAAAAGUCCCUAAGAGCAUCAUCAAUCAGUUCCAUUGGCCUCCUUUCUGUCCAUAAUCUCCAUGCCUGAAAUUUCAGAAAUUCAGAAUCAUGAUUUUUGCCCUGGAAAUUCAACAUGGUUAACGAUCUUAACAUUUAACCUUACAUGUCCGAGAAGAUUAUGAUCAUGAUCUGGGUGGAAAAAUCCCCUGUUCUUCUUUCCACUUACUAUCUCAAGGACAAGAACCCCAAAGCUAAAGACAUCAGAUUUCAUUGAGAAAACCCCAUCAAUGGCAUACUCGGGAGACAUAUAACCACUGCAAGUACGUUGAGAAAACAAUUUAAUAGCAACAUAAAGGAUAGCCAUAAAGAAAGAUUUGAUUUACUUUGUACUUACUAUGUUCCGACCACUUUAUUUGUGUUGGCCUCAGUUUGCUCUCCCCAAAAUGUUUUAGCUAAGCCAAAAUCUGAAAUUUUUGGGUUCAUUGCGUUAUCCAGUAAAAUGUUGCCGGACUUGAGAUCUCUGUGGAUUAUUCUAAGUCUAGAGUCUUGAUGAAGAUAAAGAAGUCCUCGAGCAAUUCCACCAAUAAUAUUCACUCGUUUACUCCAGUCUAGUAGUUUGCUUCUUGUUUGAUCUGAUUCAGUUCCCAAUGUCAGCCAAACCACUAAUAGAAUCCUUAAAGAGAAGGUAUCAGAAAAAAAAGAUUAUGAAACAUGAAAGGAAUAGCGAGACCAAACCAAAAAUAAAGUAGUCCAAACUUUUGUUGGCCAUGUAUUCAUAGAUUAACAAUUUUUCCUCUCCUUGAAUGCAACAGCCGAGAAGCUUUACAAGAUUGCGGUGCUGAAGUUUGGCAAUCAAAAUAACUUCAUUUUUGAAUUCUUUCAGCCCUUGUCCAGAAUCCUUUGAUAGUCUCUUUACUGCUAUGUGUUGCCCCUCUGCCAAUGUACUCUUAACCAUAACAAAUAAAUGUUUUACUUAUAACAAAUAUACAUGCUGCAGUACUUGAAUGAAGCCCCGGUAGCAUAUUAUUGCUUUACCUUGUAAACUGAUCCAAAUCCACCUCUUCCCAGCAAGUUCUCAAUAGAAAAGUUAUUUGUGGCAUUUGCUAUGGUCCCAAAAUUAAAUAAUGGCAAUUCCAUCUCUUCGUUCUCCCUUUCAUCACAAUCCAUUGCGCGAUUCUUUCUUGUCAAUCCUGAAACGAUGCAUAAUGCAUCGGCAUUAGUAAAAGCACCUUAUGUUUAUAGUUAAGUCAGGCGUUGUGGGGAAGGGAUUCAAACUCAAGACAUCCAUCAUUUUUAAGGCAAUUUCACAGCAACAUUAGUAAAAAUCAUUUCAAAAAAAGAAAAAAAAUAGGGGCUGGUUAUGAGGACUAACAGCAGACAUUUUAAUCCGACAAUUUAUGCCAGAUAAGCAGCCUUUGCUUAAGUUUCAACAAAAGUAAUCAGGUUUAUUUACCUUUCUUAUUACGUUUCCUCCACCGGAUACACAAGACAGCUGGUAUCAGCAUUCCCAUUCCUAUUAUGACAGAGCCGAUUAUAAUUGCUACUCGCUUUUUCUCCCAUGAUUGCCGUUUUUGGUCGAUAUUAGCUGAAAGAUUCGAGAUGAAGUCAGAGAUGUGGAUUUUCAGUUUUUUUCCAAGUUUGUUAGAAUAAAAAAUUUCUGCAAAAGGCAAACUGAUCAUGUCCAUAGUUCCAAAAUUUUUCUUCCUUUCUUUCCUUCGCUGCCAUCCAAAGAUUGUCCUAAGCUUACCAUAGUUCAAGAGCAAAGUACCUGAAAAAUGUUCUCUACUUUCUACUCCAAUUGAUUCUUACCUCUAAAUCCUACUUCCUCUAGACUAAAUCCCUCAGGAUAUAAUUGCAUGAAUAAAUAUUGGAAAAAAAAAAGAUUUAAACACGAUCCAAGUGAAAAAAAGAGGACAAGUACCUAUUUCUGAAGCAGCAAGUCGAAUAUAAAGGUCUUGCCCAUCAUGCCCCAUAUCAUCUCUCAUGUCCAACAGAUCACCAAACCACAGCAGGCAUCCGCUUCCCCCCUCUCUGAUAUCUGAAUUUGUAUAUGCAGUGCAAGAGCAAUCACUCAAACAUAACUGCCUACAUUCUUUGAUAUUCAUGGUCAUGUUAACCUUGGAAUGGGACGUGUCUGGCAAUUUCAAACCCGUGCGCUUGUGAAAGCUAUCUCCAUUGUUACAAACCAAUGGAGUUCUUCUAACACACCCAUCAUACCAAACUCUUGAAUUCCACUUUCCUACAAAUUUGGGCGUGAACCCUUCCAAGCAUGAACACACUGCUGGAGACUUAUUUUCAUUGCAGGUGGCAUAUGUUCCACAAAGGGCAUAGUUCUCACACUGAUCAAGAUAUGACGUUGAUAGAUACUCCCAAUCACGUUGUUGAUCACUCCAGAAAAGGAACUGAGCAAAGCCUAAUGGGCUUAGCAUGUACCUAGUAACUACUGAACUGUUGGGCUCAGUAGUAUAAUAAACUUCAUUCUCAUUGAACUUAAAUUCAUGCUUGAAAAAUAUUACAUUCGGUCUCAUCGCUGUAAAGCGAAGACCAUUCCAUGAUCCUGCUCUGUAUACUAUUUUAGAUCCCUUCUCAAUUUCUAGUUGUGGAUAUCCACUGAUAUUUAUACGUAAAAAGUAUUGGCCUGGAGCAGGAUCAUCUGUACUUUUCCAGGAUGACAGAAACCACUCAAAACCUGUGACUAAGUUCUUCCCGAUUUUCAUUCCUGGAAGAAACGUAUCAGAAGGAUAAUCAAAACUCUCCCAUAGAUUGUCUUCAGCUGGGUUGUUGUCUUUUCCAUUUUUUACUACAAGAUUUCCUGAGUUGAGAAGAUGAGCAACGGGCUCUUGUGCAGCUUCGGAUGUAUUAGAUGACCAAACAGUGCUAUUUGUGCUAUUCAGAAGCGAAAGAAUUCCAUGGUUGGAGAAAAGUAAGACUCCUUUAUUAUCAGAAAUUGGAGUUUCUCUGUUUGCCACCCAUACAACGGUUCGACUAGAUACUUUCUUGUACCAUAUUCCUAAAAAUCGACUUGUGGAACUUACUGUAGGGCCGAAAAAUCCCAGUUCAAAGCUCCCAUCAGCUGAAACAAGAGUUUCACCAUCUUUAAUGGAUUGACUUGGAGAGAGAGUAUCUACUGCAGUAGCAGUCCUUAAGAUGAAGAAAACAAAUAAAUAUACAAGAAAGAAUGAAAUCGUCUCCAUUGAUUAUCUCAUGUUGCACUUCUUUCUUCAAAUAUGAAUGGUUUGGAAAAUUUAGGACAUUACUGAGACCAACCCGAAAUGAUGAAACAGAUGCUCCUAGAAAAUGGUAGGUCUACUGACAAUUUUCUAUUAAAUGCAGAUGUUGUAGGUUUGUUUCUCAUUAAUUCUCUGGCGUUGCUCAAAUAACGAUUGACAAAGAAAGGAUGACGGGUCUAACAGUAUUUAGCAACACUAAAAACCUGUUAAAGAAAAAUUUGUUUAGCGAAUGUUGAUAGAAAGAGCAUGGAAGAAUUGUGGGGAAAAUUUGUUUACACGAAAGAAAAUAGAGAGAGCAAGAAAGUCUUGCAAAGCUGUGGGACCAAACGGUCCCCUCCAUUAAUUGUCUUUUGAUAUACAUCAUGAGUUAAUAACUUUUAAAUAAUAAUCAAAGGUGGGUAAGAGAUUCACGUAACUAACCACCUUCUUCUAUACUUCAAGGUUUUGUAACUAACCACCUUUUUCUAUACGUCAAGGUUUUCACAAUGUUCAAGAAAAAACAUCAUUACAAAGUAAAACGAGAAGUUUUAAUCACACAUUAAUCCAAACUUUUUCAUGUUUAUUUGAGCCGGUGGCAAUUCCCCAUGCAACCGUCUACUCCUUUUAGAGCUAUAUUCACCUAAGUUAAUUUCAUUUUCCAACAAUAUCCACCUAAGGUAGUUUCAUUUGCCUCGGAUUAAACAUCAGACAAGUAUGAAUGGGCUAAGCCAAUUGCCUAUUUGGGCCAUUUAAGCAUUCACACUGAAUUUAAUGAAACCUGAGGUGAAUUUGGGCCUACUCUACAAUUUCGAGUGACUUCAGUAUAUGUCUAAACAAUGAAAAUAUGAAACUUUGUAAAAUUCAUGGGGUGAUGCUGACACUAACCAUUCGAACGCUGAUAUUCUUUUAAUAGUAAUCUAAUUCUGAUACUAGUAAUUGUGUUUUGAUAAGAUUUUUUAAAAAAUCAAUGAAAAUUAGACAACUUUAAUUAAAAAUUAAAUAAGUAUUAUUAAUCUGAUAAAUCAAUAUGAGUAUUUGGAUUAAUCACUUCGGGUUAAUCACUUUUAAUAUUUUUGGGGCUCAGAGAGAAGAAAGAUAUUGCUCAAGCAUCCUGAAGGUAAUUAAAUACAAAAUGUGAUGCAUGCAUAUCUUAGCUCAUCACUGUGAAAAUGGAGUAUCAUCUCAUCCAUUCUUGUUUUCUUCCUGAUCAGGUCUUACACGAAAAGCCGAAGCUACCCCUACGUCCAUUUGUCAAGUGACAAAUUCAACUACCGUGCCUUUAACAGGGUAAUGGUGCACUCAUUUGCAGAAGAUGAUUUACUGUUGCUUGAUGAAGACUCAGCUUAAGGCAGAUUCCUCCCUGUGAAAAACCCUGGCUGCUUUGGUUGUGGCAAUGCACUUUCACUGCCUAGCAUUAGAAUUACAGAAGACAUGUUUGGUCUAUCUUCUGGUCGUUGCUGCACGCACAGCAGUCCCACAUGAAUGCAUCGCUGCACUUCAGAUGGCAAGCAAAAGUUCCUAAGAGCAUCAUCAAUCAGUUCCAUUGGCCUGCUUUCUGUUCAUAGUUUCCAUGCCUGAAAUGUCAGAAAUUCAGAAUCAUUAUUUCUGCCUUGGAAAUUCAACAUGGUUAACAAUCUCAACAUUUAACCUUACAUGUCCGAGAAGAUUAUGAUCAUGAUCUGGGUGGGAAAAUCCCCUGUUCUUCUUUCCACUUACUAUCUCAAGGACAAGAACCCCAAAUCCAAAGACAUCAGAUUUCAUUGAGAAAACCCCAUCAAUGGCAUACUCGGGAGACAUAUAACCACUGCAAAUAUGUUGUGAAAACAAUUUAAUAGCAACAUAAAGGAUAGCCAUAAAGAAAGAUUUGAUUUACUUUGUACUUACUAUGUUCCGACCAGUCUAUUUGUUUUGGCCUCAGUUUGCUCUCCCCAAAAUGUUUUAGCUAAGCCAAAAUCAGAAAUUUUUGGGUUCAUUGCAUUAUCCAGUAAAAUGUUGCUAGACUUGAGAUCUCUGUGGAUUAUUCUAAGUCUAGAGUCUUGAUGAAGAUAAAGAAGUCCACGAGCAAUUCCACCAAUAAUAUUCACUCGUUUACUCCAGUCUAGUAGUUUGCUUCUUGUUUGAUCUGAUUCAGUUCCCCAUGUUAGCCAAACCACUAAUAGAAUCCGUAAAGAGAAGGUAUCAGAGAAGUAAGAUUCUGAAACAUGAAAGGAAUAGUGAAGGACCAAACCAAAAAUAAAGUAGUCCAAACUUUUGUUGGCCAUGUAUUCAUAGAUUAACAAUUUUUCAUCUCCUUGAAUGCAACAGCCGAGAAGCUUUACAAGAUUGCGGUGCUGAAGUUUGGCUAUCAAAAUAACUUCAUUUUUGAAUUCUUUCAGCCCUUGUCCAGAAUUCUUUGAUAGUCUCUUUACUGCUAUGUGUUGCCCCUCUGCCAAUGUACCCUUAAGACCAUAACAAAUAAAUAUUUUACUUAUAAGAAAUAUAGACGCUACAGAACUUGAAUGAAGCUCCGGUAGCAUAUUGUUGCUUUACCUUGUAUACAGAUCCAAAUCCACCUCUGCCCAGCAAGUUCUCAAUAGAAAAGUUAUUUGUGGCAUUUGCUAUGGUCCCAAAAUUAAAUAAUGGCAAUUCCAACUCUUCAUUCUCCCUUUCAUCACAAUCCAUUGAGUGAUUCUUUCUUGUCAAUCCUGAAACGAUGCACAAUGUAUUGGCAUUAGUAAAAGCACCUUAUGUUUAAGGCAAUUCUUCAGCAACGUUAGGAAAAAUCAUUUCAAAAAAAAUAGGGGCUGGUUAUGAGGACAAACAGCGGACAUCUUAAUCCGAUAAUUUAUGCCAGAUAAGCGGCCUUUGCUUAAGUUUCAACAUAAGUGAUCAAGUUUAUUUACCUUUCUUAUUACGUUUCCUCCACCGGAUACACAAGACAGGUAGCAUCAGCAUUCCCAUUCCUAUUAUGACAGAGCCGACUAUAAUUGCUACGCGCUUUUUCUUCCAUGAUUGCCUUUUUUGUACGAUAUUAGCUGAAAGAUUCGAGAUAAAGUAGAUGUGGAUUUUCAGUUUUUUUUCCAAGUUUGUUAGAAUAAAUAAUUCUACAAAAGGCAAACAGAUCAUGUCCAUAGUUCCAAAAUUUUCUUCUUUCCUUCGCUGCCAUCCAAAGAUUGUCCUGAGCUUACCAUAGUUGGAGAGCAAAAUACCUGAGAAAUGUUUUCUAGACUAAAUCCUACUUCCUCUAGACUAAAUCCCUCAGAAUAUAAUUGCAUGAAUAAAUAUUGAAAAGAAAAAAGAUUUCAACAUGAUCCACAGUGAAAAGAAGAGGACAAGUACCUAUUUCAGAAGCAGCAAGUCGAAUAUAAAGGUCUUGCCCAUCCUGCCCCAUAUCAUCUCCAUGUCCGACAAAUCACCAAACCACAGCAGGCAUCCGCUUCCCCCCUUUCUGAUAUCUGAAUUUGUAUAUGCAGUGCAAGAGCAAUCACUCAAACAUAACUGCCUGCAUUCUUUGAUGUUCAUGGUCGUGUUAACCUUGGAAUGGGACGUGUCUGGCAAUUUCAAACCCGUGCGCUUGAGAAAGCUAUCUCCAUUGUUACAAACCAAUGGAGUUCUUCUAACACACCCAUCAUACCAAAUUCCUGAAUUCCACUUUCCUACGAAUUUGGGCGUGAACCCUUCCAAGCAUGAACACACAGCUGGAGAGUCAUUUCCAUUGCAGGCAGCAUAUGUUCCACAAAGGGCAUAGUUCUCACACUGAUCAAGAUUUGACGUUGAUAAAGACUCCCAAUCACGUUGUUUAUCACUCCAUAAAAGGAUCUGACCAAAGCCUGACGGGUUCAGCAUGAUCCUAAUAACUACUGAAUUGUUUUUGACCUCAGUAGUAUAAUAGACUUCAUUCUCAUUCAACUCAAAUUCAAGUUUGAAAGAAAAUAUUGCAUUCGGUCUCAUCCCUAUAAAGCGAAGACCAUUCCAUGAUCCUGUUCUGUACGCUAUUUUAGAUCCCUUCUCAAUUACUAGUUGUGGAUAUCCACUGAUAUUUAUACGUACAAAGUAUUGGCCUGGAGCAGGAUCAUCUGUACUUUUCCAGGAUGACAGAAACCACUCAAAACCUGUCACUAAGUUCUUCCCAAUUUUCAUUCCUGAAAGCAAAGUAUCACAAGGAUAAUCAAAACUCUGCCAUAGAUUGUCAGCUGGGUUGCUGUCUUUUCCAUCUUUUACUACAAGAUUUCCUGAGUUGAGAAGAUGAGCAACGGGUUCUUGUGCAGUUUUUGAUGUAUUAGAUGACCAAACAGUGCUAUUUGUGCUAUUCAGAAGCGAAAGACUUCCAUGGUUGGACAAAAGUAAGACUCCUUUAUCAUCAGAAAUUGGAGUUUCUCUAUUUGCCACCCAUACAACCGUUCGCUUAGAUACUUUCUUGUACCAUAUUCCUAAAAAUCGACUUGUGGAACUUACUGUAGGGCUGAAAAAUCCCAGUUCAAAGCUCCCAUCAGCUGAAACUAGAGUUUCACCAUCUUUAAUGGAUUGACUUGGAGAGAGUAUCUACUGCAGUAGCAGUCCUUAAGAUGAAGAAAACAAAUAAAUGUACGAGAAAGAAUGAGAUCGUCUCCAUUGAUUAUCUCAUGUUGCACUUCUUUCUUCAAGUAUGAAUGAAUGUUUUGAAAAAUUUAGGAUACUACUGAGACCAACCAGAAAUGAUGAAACAGCUGCUCUUAGAAAAUGGUAGGUCAACUGACAAUUUUCUAUUAAAUGCAGAAAUGGUGAUAUUUUUUUCAACGAAGGUGGGCUUAUCAUUAAUUCUCUUGCGUUGCUCAAAUAACGAUUGACAAAGAAAGCUGAAAGCGAGAAUGUCCUGAACGAGUCUGGGUUAAUAUAUUUCCAAAUAAGGUGCUGUUGUUGUUGGAUAUUUUCAACAAUAAUGAAUGUGGGGCACAAUCCCACAUUGAAAAAGUAAAAGGAAAAAGAGUAAUUUAAAUAGAGAGGAGUAUAAGUUGGCCGCAGUUGGAUUUAAAAAGGCAAUGGAUUAUGAAGGAAAAUUUAGGGUCUUGGAGGUUUGAAAUUAAUUAAAUUUAAUAUUUAAUUAUUUAUUUUGACAAGCAAUUAAAAAUUAUUUGGCUAAAUAUUUAAAUAAGUUCUUGAAUUAUACCAAAAAGUCAAUUAAAUUUUUAUCUUUUUAUUGCAUUCAAAUAAACUCUUGGACUUUGAUUUUGAGUUAAAUAAACCCUCCUCAUUAAUUAUUGAUUAACAGAAUGCUCCCAGAAAAUGAUAGGUCUACUAACAUUCUUAGAAAAUGGUAGGUCUUCUGACAAUUUUCUAUUAAAUGCAGAAAUUGUGAUUUUUUUUUCAAUGAAGGUGGUCUUAUCAUUAAUUAUCUUGCAUUGCACAAAUAACAAUUGACAAAAGAAAGCUAGAAACGAGCAUGUUUUGAACAAGUCUGGGUUACGAUAUUUCCAAUUGAGGUGCUGUUGUUGUUGGAUAUUUUCAAUAAUAAUGAAUGUGGGAUACAAUCUCACAUUGGAAAAAUAGAAGGAAAAAGAGAUUUAAAUAGAGAGGAGUAUAAGUUCAUUGUUGUUGAACUUUAAUAGGCAAUGGGUCAUGGAUGAUUUUUUUGGAUUUAGAAGGUUUGAAGUUAAUUAAAUUUAAUAUUUAAUUAUUUAACUUUAAUAGACAAUUAAAAAUUAUUUGAUUAAAUAUUCAAAUAAGUUCCUGAAUUAUACUAAAAAAGUCAAUUAAGCACCUAUCUUUUUAUUACGUUCAAAUAAGCCCUUAGACUUUUAUUUUGGGUCAAAUAAACUUUUCUCACUAACUAUUAACUAACGGAAGUCAGCCGUACAAUUGGCAAUUUUAUACUAGAUUAUUUGCGACGUGACAUGUUGAUGUAUCAUGUUAUUUUAUAUGUGCAAAUUUAUGUUAAUUUUCAUAUUAAAGAGAAAAAUCAUCCUUCUUAAAGUGAAAUUACUUCUUUUAAAUUUGCAACACUCCUCUUCCUUAUCUCCUACCUAAGUAAAUAAUCCGUCAAAACUCUUUUUUCAGUAGAUGAAAAAAAAGAACAUUAAAAACCAUACUGAUGAACCGUCUAGGCUUGUCUGACAAUAUCUUGCUAGAAUUGUCUAGGGGCUAGAACUGCUUAGGCUUUCUAUAGAACCUGUAGUUCUAGGAUUUCUGAGAUCGGGUUUAGAGCAAAUAGAUCAAGGUUUUUGCUAGAACUAUCCAAGCUUUUGAUAGAAGUACAACAAAAUUCAACAAGAAACAGAAGGUUUAAGCACCGCGGCACUAGAAGAAAAGUAGAAAAAAAAAAAAGGAAAUAGAAGCUUUGAGUGCCGCAAUGCUCAAUCUUCAGCGCCGCGGCAUUGACACCCAAAGCAUAACACUUUGGGUGGGAAAUAGCUGAGAGUCGUGGCCUUCAAGGCAAGGGCCGCGGCGCUGGAAUGAGCCCGACCUUAGUGUUUUUUUUUACUUAAAUACAUCUUUUUCUCCUUUCUUCCCCUAUUCUUCAGCCAACUCUCUUUCCUUCCAUCUUCCUCUUGCAAAUUUCUUGCCUUUCUCACUACAAAACUUGUCUCUUAGGUCAUCAAAGUUUGAAUUAUCACUCAUUAUUCAUCCUACACUCCACAUAUUCUCUUAAGUGAGGAUUUUUUUUUCACUCUUCCUUAGUUUUUGAGAGUUUUUGAGAUUUUACUUUACUUUUACUGUUAAUACCUGUCAAUAAUUUUUAUUUCAUGGAUUUUUAGCAUAAAUAGGUAAUUUGUAUGUGGUUAAUGAUGGGUAUACCAAUGUUCUUCUUGGCUAUGGUUUGGGUUCAUAAAAUUUUGUGUGUUGGAAUUUGUGGUGAUUUUGAUCAUAGUUGUUUCGUUUGAAUAAAUAGACCUUUAUUUGAUGAAUGGUGGGUAUGUGAAAUUUGUGAUGUGAAUAAAGUGGGUCAAGAGUAUGUGGUGUAUUUGUUGUGGGAAUUUUUGUUGAUGAUGAUAUGCGAUAGUGGAAAUUUUGAACGAUGAUGCCUAUUUAUAAAUUAUGCAAUGGUUGGUUGAAUAUAAAAAAAAUUAAAAAAAAGUUUGGUGGAUGAUGAGUAUGUAAACCUCGUUGCACUUUUGGUUGGGUAAGUGGAAACAUAUUCAAUGUAGGCUGAUGCAUGUUGAAAUUCUUGAUAAUUUUGGCUAAGUGCACUUUUGUGAAGGAUGAUAGAAUUUUAUUUGCCUAAUGAUGAUUGAUGUGAAGAAUUUGGAACUUCUUGAAGAUUGUGGUGUGGAAUAGUUGAUUUUUUUGGGGUAAGAAGAUGCUAUUUAAUUAUCAGCUUGAAUUAGGUUAGUUGAAGUGAAAAUAAUUAAUUGAAUUAGUGCAUCUGGAAUUUUACUAUUUUCAUGGCUAUUUAUUUGGUAAAUCUUGUAAGUCGCACUGAUUGCACUCUAGUACUUUGGAUUUGUUUUGAUUGCUUGAAUUUCUUUUGUAGGAAUGGCACCACAACGAUCCAAACUAAAGUCCAGUUAUGUUUUUGAUCGAUCAAAGUUUAUCUCAAUCAAUGCCUUAGUGCGAUAUCAUACUUCAUUGAUCAACAAGGUGUCAAUAUCUAAAAAAAGAUUAAAUAUUCCUCUAAUUCAUUAUGAGGAGAUACAUCAGAUGAUUGAAGAACAACAUUUGGAGCGUUGUUGUGAACUGCUAAAUUUGCGAUUAUGCUUGUGGUAAGGGAAUUCUAUGCACAUGUGUUUGAGCAUGUUGAUAAUGUUGCUUUUGUAUGUGGCAAACAUGUCCCUUUCCAUAGUUGAGCCAUCAACGAAUUUUUUGGGACUCCAAACAUUGACAAUGAUGACUAUGGGCAAUAUUUGAGGGAUCAUUAAGAUUUUGACGCAAUCAUCUCGGAGCUUUGUGUUGAAGGUGCCCAAUGAAAAACGUUGCAUGGAGAGCUUGUUUCAUUUAAACAAUGUGCAAUGAAGAAUGAGUGAAAGUAUGGCUACAUUUUGUGGCGGUGAGAUUGCUUCCAUCUACUCACAUCAACGAUGUAACAAAGGAUCAUGCCAUUCUUAUUUAUGCCAUUUUGACACAUAAAUCCAUUGACAUUAGUAAGGCUAUCUGUCAUGCCACAUCACAUACGAGCCAAACCAAAUGAGAUGGUAUAGGAUUUCCUUCUUUGAUAACUGCAUUGUGUGCGAAAGCUGAUGUGUGAUGGAGUAAUAAAGAGGAGCUGCAACAUGACAUACAAGCCAAACCAAAUGAGUGGUAAGGCUAUCUCUCAUGCCACAUUACAUACGGGCCAAACCAAAUGAGAUGGUAUAGGAUUUCCUUCUUUGAUAACUACAUUGUGUGUGAAAGCUAAUGUGUGAUGGAGUGAUAAAGAGGAGUUGCAACAACCAAAAAUCACUAUCACCAUGGGCAUUAUGAGGCGAUUGGAAGAGUUUGCACCGUUAGUUGGUAGUCUUUCGCAAGCUGCUCCAUAACCUCCACAAUCGGGUCCCACUCGUAGUGUUGUUCAAUGGAUGGAACUCGUUGAUGGUCGUCUAGAACGCCACGAGAGGCAAAAUUGAGCAAUCAAAGAAAUGAUGAAGGCCUAUGUAGAACAUAUUGGAAUGGAUAUGUCUACUUUCCCUUCAUUGCCUAUGGAUUUAGACUUUAAUGAUAAUUUUGGUGGGGAUAAGGAUGACCAGUAAAUUGCAUCUAUGGCGUUAGGGGAGUAUUGUUUAUCUUUUUUUCUAUUUUUUUAUCACAUUGAGGACAAUGUUUUAUUCCAAGUUUUGGGGAGUUCUUUUAGAAUUUAUUUAGUUUGUUUUUUAUUAUGAUUAUGUUCCUUUUAAGUUAUGCUUUGCAUGAUUUAUUUAUGUUAAAAAAAUUUUGAGGAAGUUUGCACCUUAUACAUGAUUUUCCCAAUCCUAGGAUAAUAAUCUGAUUAUCUUGUGAUUCUUAGCUUUUGGGAAACAUAUGGCUAUGAUUUAAUUUUAUGUGAUAUUCUUUUGUUAGCUUUAGUUUAGAAUGUGACUUCCAAUAAUUUGAACACUAUAUUCUUUAACUUAGAAUUUUUUUGUGAUUUAGAGAAAGUUUAUGUUGAUAAAAAGUAUAGUGAAGUCAAGAAUUCUAGAAUUUGUUUAAUUCUCUCUCGAGGUGAAAUCCUAGAUAACACUUAGAAUAAGAAAUGAUUUAGGCCAUCUUUGGAACGUUCGAACCUUUUUAAGCUUACCUUGUUAUAUAAUUAUCCUUAGUCACCCCUUUUGAGCCUAAUUUACCUUUUUUUUUUUGAAUAUACACAAUUACAUUAGCCUUAGCCUUCUAUUUAAUUCCAACAGUUUGAACCUUUCACCUUUAAAUAUUUUGAUUUUUUGAGAAAGUGCAUUGAGCUUAAAGAUAAAUUGAGGGAGAAAGGUGGAAGAAAAAAGGUGAUGGGUGCUAGAAAUUAACCCCUUGUUCAUAAUUGUCAAAAAUAAGUUUGGAAGUGUAAAAAAAAAAAAAAGAAAAAGAAAAAAAAUAAGUGUGUUGUACAGAAGAAAUUUUAUUUCAAGUUUGGAAGUGCUAUAAAAAAAUAUUUUUGUUGAGCUCCUUAUAGGUCCUAGAUUGAUUAAGUGUUUAUGGUGAAUUUGAGCCUAAAUAAUAUCCUUUAUCAUACCUUGACCCUAGCCUUACAUUAUAAGCUUAAUAAAGACAUAUUGAUCCUUAAAUAAAUGUUAUUCUACAUUAGUAGAGAGAGAAAUGAAAAACAAACUUAUGGGAUUCUAAUACUAAUCUAUGUUUAGCCUUGGCAUAAACUAAUCCAAAUUGCAUGAUAUUCUUUGUAAAAAAUUAUUCACACACACACACAUGAAGUCCAUUCGAAAAAUAAGUUUUCACUUGAAUUGAUAAAUGAAUUUAAAAAUUAACUGUAUUUUACCUUAAGUUGGAAUUGAAGAUAAUUUUUGAGGGAAAAAUUAGGAAAUCAUGAUUUGGUACUUCUACCUCUAGUUAAAGUCUUUUUAACUUUAAAUGUUUAAUUUUCUUUGUUUUAUUUUCUUUUGCUCGAGGACAAGCAAAAUUUCAAGUUUGGGGGUGGGAUAAUUAUAUUUUAUAGAAUUAUUUUAGUCCAAUUUUGUUAUUAAAUAUUAGCUAAGUCCUUAAUUUUUAAUUAGAAUUUAGAUAUUUUUAUUUGUUUUUAUAAUUAGUUUAUUCUUAUCAAGUUACUUUAAUUUUAUGUUAUUUACUCUAAUUGGGCUAUUAUUUAUUAGUUUUUUUAUCCUUUUGUAGCAUUUAAGGAAAUAGGGCUUAAUUUUAGAAACUAAGGUGUUUGAAGGACUUCAAAUUCUGCUUGCACAUGCUUUAGUGUUUUGAUCAUAACUCGCACUCCAGAUGUCCAAAUGAUGCGAUUCUUACACCAUUGGAAAGUUAAGACAAAGAAAAUUGCGUCAGAAGAUGACUGGGCAUAAUGUUGCAGGAAUAGCAAUUUUAAGGAUAAUAUUUGAUGUUUGGGCCUCAUAACACUUCUAAGCCCAAUAGUUAGAGUCAAUAGGUUAAGUUAUGGAAUUUUAGGUUAAGAUUGUGAGUACGAAAAGGUUGUUUUAGGAGAAGUUAGAAAAGAUAACCUUAAGAGAUUCAAAAAGUCAAAAGUUGAGGCAAAAACUCGAAGAACAAGGCUGCAAAUAAUUGUUUUAUUUUUUUCAUUAGUUUUUAUUUUUCUUGUUACUCAAUGGUUGAAAUUCAUAUUUUUUUAAUUAUCUUUGCAAUUAUGAGCAGCUAAUUUUAUUUUCUUAGGAUUGCAAUUGAACUCAUAUGUAAUCUGAAUUUUAAUCUCUUUCUUACUUAUUUUCAAUGGAAUUGAAUUAUUUAUUUCAAUUUAUUCUUAAUGCUUUUAAUUGCUUAGCUACCAAUUAAAUUGAUCUAGGAACCUAAACAAACUUGGAAAAGGGAGUUUAGAGUAAAUUAAAAUUAGAAUAGCACAUGAUCAUAUUAAUUGAUUUAUGUAUAGGAUAGGGAUAUACCUAUAUGCCAUGUAUAGCUAGAAUUAGAGCCUGAACUUAAUUAAUCCAUUUUAAUUUCAAUUUAGAUAGGAAUAUAGUAUUUUGGUUAAAAUAAAUAUUUUUGUAAGACAAGUUGAGAGACCUUUAUAAGUAAUUGAGGACUUUAGGUUAGCAAUUCAAUCUAUUGAAAUAAGUUAAGAGAGGUAAGAUUUAGAUGAAAUGUGAGGGAUCUUAUAAUCCUAAGUUUAGUUCUAUUGAUUUUUAUCGAAUUUUAGUUUUGCUUUGAUUUUUAUCGAAUUUUAUUUCUGCUUUGAUUUUUAUUUUUGUUAAUUAGUUUUGUGAACUUCUAGUUUAAAUAAUUAUUUGCUUUUUGACCAUUUGGAUAAAAUUAAAUUAUGUUAAUUUUAAUACUUGGUAAAAUUUUUAGAAUAAUUCUCUAUGGGAUUGAUACUCUGUUUGCUAUUAUAUUACCCUCAGCGAUAUGUGUACUUGCUUGAGUAGAAUUUUAACUGACAAUGACUAGAAGAUUACAUAAAUUCCAUUCCCAAAAAAUAGGACAUUAGUCCUAAAUCAGUCAUUUCAAAGACUUUUAGCAUCUAUGACUUGACCUCAGUUAGGCAUUCAAUUUCUGGACUAGUAACUAGCAAAUAACAUAUGGUGCCACUAUAAGCUUAACUAUAUCAUUUACUUUUUUUUAUAUAGAGGGUUGCUUCAGUAGUGCUUUUGAUGAAUCCCUAGUUCAGUAAAUGAUCAUCUGCCUUUUCAUACCAAGCCCUCGGUGCUUGUUUGAGACCAUGUAGGGCCUUCACUAACUUACAAUCUUUGUUUUCAUAACCCUUUUUUACAUAUUCAACUGGUUGUUUUACAUAUAUAUCUUCCUUCAAGUAACUAUUCAGAAAAGCAGACUUUAUGUCAAAAUGAUAAAUCAACCAUCCUUCUCUUGUAGACAAAGCUGCCAGUAACCUAAUGGUGUCAUGUCUUGCAACAGGUGCAUAUGUUUCCAAGUAGUCUACACCAUAUACGUGUGUAAAGCCUUUGACUACUAGCCUGGCUUUGUAUUUGUUGACAGAUCCAUUCAGAUUCAAUUUGGUUCUAAAAAUCCAUUUAACACCUAUGACAUUGUUAUCUUUAGGCUUAUCUACCAACAACCAGGUCUUAUUUAUCCUUAUCAUUAUCAUCUCAACCUUUAUGUCUUGUUUUCGAUGCUCAUCAGUAAAAGCUUCAGCAUAAGAACUAGGUUCAAUGAAUGCCAAAUGACACCUGGCAUAUAUGUCGUCUAGGCAUCUAGUUCCUCUCAUAGGGAUCUCAUCCACCAUUUCAUCUGAGUUUAAGUCAGACUUUUUUGAGCUUUCAACAUUCUUCGAUUCCCAAAUUCCACAUCCUGCUCUCAUCAAACAUCACAUCUCUACUUAUAAAGAAUUUCAUAUUUUUGACAUCCAGGAAUCUGUACCCUUUUGAUACUUCACUAUAUCCAAGGUGGAUAGCUAAAAAAGAUUUACUAUCCAACUUGGUCCUCUUUGCAUUCUGGUAUCUUAGCAAAACAUAUACAUCCAAAGACUUUCAAAUGUUUAAUUGAGCGUUUUGUAUCACACAAGGCUUCAUAAGGUGUUUUACCAACUAGGGCUCUAGUAGGUGCCAAAUUAAGCAAAUAGUUAACAGUGUUAACUGCUUCUGCCCACAAUGACUUAGGCAACUUCUUUUCAAAUAACAAGCACCUAGCCAUUUCUAUCAAAGUUUUGUUUUUCUUCUCUGACAUACCAUUUUGUUGAGAGCUAUAUUAGACAAUAAAUUGAUGCACAAUGCCAAACUUGCUUAAAUAGUCUUUAAACUCCUUAGCAAUGUACUCAGUCCCAUCAUCACUUGAUAACUCUAUUACAUAGAGUUAUCAUACAAUUUUGUGGAGCAUGAAUUGUACUUAUUCUUUUAAUUUUCAGCAUAGUUCUUACCAAAUUUUCAUACUUUUUAGUAUGAGUUAAUUUUUAGGAUGUUUAGUGUCAUGAAAGCAAUUUAAUCUUCAUUUGUGUUAUCAAAACUCCCCUCAAUGCAACCUUUGAUCAUUCAACAUUUCUUUGAUUUUGAAGGAAUGGUGGCUGAAAGUGAAGCUGAAGAAUAGACCUUAUCAACUCUGCAUUUGGUGGCUCAAAGGAGGAGAGCAUGGUGGCAGAAGGAUCAAAGCUGCAGCAACAAAUUGUCUAGGCAGAGAGUUUUUCGUUGCAGUGAGAACUCAUUCUCGCUACAGCGAGAACAAAGCACAAAGAAGCAGAAGGAUUUUCGCUGCAGCAAGAAUCUAAUCUCGCUGCAGCGAAAAUGAGGAACUUGUCAACACCAUGCCAAAUCAACUUUGCUCGUUGCAACAAGAACACGUCGAAGAAGAGGAAUAUUCUGGGCUCGAGAUCCUAGGUCAAGGCUGAAUGAGGGGGACUAUAAAUAAAAUUCUUUGGCACAGAAAAAAAAGGAGAUUCGGAGGAGACAAUUUUUGGGCAAAAGGAGCUGAAACAAAACAGGGAAAGAAGGAAGAUUCAAGGGGAGGAGAUUAUAAAGCUGCAACAGAUUAUUUUACUCUAUCUCUCUAGAUUUGAAGCUUUCUCUCUCUCUCAUUUUAUAAACCUAUGCUCUUAUUGCUGUAUUGUGUACUCUAUUUCUUUAAAAUGCUGAGCUAAAAUCAUUCAUCUAGGAUUAUGAGUGACUUUAUUAUGUAGUUUGGAUAUUGUUUGGUUGGUAGCCUAGUCUUAAUGAAAUUUUGAUGUUUACUCAAGGUUUGAACUGAUUUUUCAUUUAAUUGACUGAUCACCAAUUAAAUACACGUAAGUAUUUAGAUGAAACUUGAAAGAGUGAAUCUAAAACGGACUUAACUUUGAGUAAUGUGUGUUUUUUACUUAAAAAGAAAUUUAGUGCUUGAAGUGCAACUAGAGUAGAAAUACACUUAGCUGCCACAAAUAGUCUACUUGGAAUAUUUAGGCUUAAAAAGCUUAGUUUAGUUGACUCUUAUAGACAUAUAGGAGGUUCAAUUAAAUUAAGUAACCUAUAUCAAAUAUUAGACUAACAUCAUUUACAUUGAGAUUAGGUAACUAACCUAACCAAUUCCAAAUGAAAUAAUAAACAAAACCAUAAUCCUAGACUAUUAGACUAUUGAUUUCAUUUCAAUCUAUCAAUUGCACCACUUAUAGUAGACUUAAUUAAUUAGGUUAUAAUUUUCUUUUCAUAGCUAAAAAAUUAGUUCCUUGGAUAAGGUUAGCUUGUGUUAAUUUUGGUAAUUAGCAGUAAUCAUUAGACCAACUCUUCGUGGAUCGACAUCCCACUCAUCACUUACUACUUGUCAUGACUGUGUACACUUGCACGAAGUCCUUGCUAGUAAUUUGCAUUCAAUUUGAGCAUAUUCAUAUAUUGCAUAAGCAAGAUUGUUAUUAUUUUCAACUAGCAACAUCACUCUUGAACUUUUUUAUAGUCAAGCUCAUGUAAUUUUCAAGCAAGUUUUUGAACUUAGUGAACACACUUAAUGCAUCAAACUUCAUUUUCAUGAAAUGUACUCAACAGAUCCUUGUAUAGUCAUCAAUAAAAAGUAUAUAGUACUUACUUCCAUUCAAGGAUGAAGUCUUCAUAGGGCUUCCAAGAUCUGUAUGUAGUAACUGCAACUUUCUUGUUCAUUCCAGGUUCUGGUUUUUAGAAAUGAAACUUUUUUCUGCUCCCUAUACCGACACACCUCAUAAAUCUUUUUAAUGUUUACCAUUAAAGGUAACCUAUCAACCAAGCUAUCAGAGGCCAUCAAUUUAAGUGAACCAUAGUUCACAUGACCAAACCUUUUGUGCCACAAUUCUAUAUCAUAUAAAGUGAAACUAUAACUAGUGUGCUUGAUUUUCAUCCAGUUUAAUGGGAAACUUUUGUUUCUUAUUCCUACUGUGAAGAGUUCUAUUACAGUUGGAUCUUUCAUAGUGCAAGCCUUGUCUUUGAAGUUUAAUUCAAAGCCUUUAUCCACAACUUGGCCUACACUCAGUAAAUUUUGACUCACAUCAGGAGCAUAAUAGACUUUUGCCACUGAUUUAAUUAUACUACAUGCUUGCACUCCUACUGUACCAAUUCCAAAGAUUAGUAGAAAAUCACCAUUUACUAUUUCCAUUUGAGUUAUAAACUCUCAUUCAAGUUGACAAAAUUCUCCUUGCAACCAGUCAAGUGGUUUGAAUAGCCACUAUCUAGUAACUAGAUGUCCUUCUUUUCUUCACUAUCUGACUUCCAAGCCAUAAACAAAACUUCAUCUUUAGCUUAAAGCUCCUCAACCACAGUUGCUUUCUCAUUAGCAUUCUUACGCUUGUUUUUGCAUACUUUUUCAACAUGUCCUUGUUGGUGACAUUUUCUACACUUAACAUUUGGUUUAAACCAACAAUACUUCUCAGUUUGGUUUGUUUUCUUGCAAUGUGAACAUGGUGGAAAUGUUUUCUUUUGAUCCCCAUGUCUUUUUUCAUCAAUUUUCUUCCCUUUAUCUUCUUACUUGCAUCAAUCCUCCUAAAGCUAUUGCUACCGGGUUUUAAAUUUUUGGUUCGCAAUUAAGGCACUUUCAAAUUGAGGAUAUUCUCUAGUUUCUACUUGAAUUUAUUCUUACCUCUAAAUUCUACUUCCUUUACACCAAAACCCUCAGGAUAUAAUUGCAUGAAUAAAUAUUGAAAAAACAAAAAAAUUUCAACAUGAUCCAUGGUGAAAACAAGAGGACAAGUACCUAUUUCAGAAGCGGCAAGUCAGAUAUAAAGGUCUUACCCAUUCUGCUCCAUAUCUCUCAUGUCUAUCAGAUCACUAAACAACAACGGGCAUCCACUUCCCCCCUCUUUGAUAUCUGGAUUUGUAUAUGCAAUGCAAGCGUAAUCAUUCAAACAUAACUGCUUACAUUCUUUGAUGUUCAUGGUUAUUUUAACCUUCGAAUGGGAUAUGUCUAGCAAUUUUAAACCCGAGCACUUAAGAAAGCCAUCUCCAUUGUUACAAGUUAAUGGAGUUCUUCUAAUACAUCCAUCACACCAAUCUGUUGAAUUCUACUUUUCGAUGGAUUUGGGCAUGAACCCUUCAAGCAUGAACACACAAAAGUGUCAUUUCCAUUGUAGCUAGCAUAUUUUCCACAAAGGGCAUAAUUUUCACACUAAUCAAAGGACAUCGCUAAAAACUCCCAAUCGUGUAUUUGAUCACUCCAUAUAAGGUGCUGAGAAAAACAUGGUGGGAUCAGCACGAACCUUAAAACUAUCGAACUAUUUAUGAGCUCAUUAGCAGAAUAUACUUAAUUCUUAAUCCACACAAAUUCAUUUUUGUAAUUGUAUUCACUUUUAUCUGAAGCCCUAGAAAGCCAACACCAUUCCAUGGUCCUGCUUUAUGCUUUAUUUUAGAUCCCUUCACAAGUAUUAGUUGUAGAUAUCCACUAAUAUACAUACGUGGAAAGUAUUCGCCUAGAGCAGGACCAUUUGUGCUUUUCCAGCAUUGCAGAAACCUCUCAAAAUCUAUAACCAAGUUCUUUCCAAUUUUCAUUCCCAAAAGAAAUGUAUCGCAAGGAAAAUCAAAAAUUUGCCACAGAUUUUCCUCAACUGGGUUGUUGUCUUUACCAUCACUCAUUACAAGAUUUCCUAUGUUUAGAAGUUGAUUCCAUGGUUGGAGAAAAGUAAGAUUCUUUUGUUAUCAGAAUUUUGUUAUCAGAAAUAAGAGACCCUCUAAUUACGACCCAAACAAUUGUUCCAUUAGAUACUUUCUUGUACCAUAUUCCUAAAAAUCAACUUGUGGAGCUUACUCUAAGGUUGAAAAAUCUCAAUUUAAAGCUCCCAUCAGUUGAACUAGAGUUUCACCAUCUUUAAGGAUUGACUUGGAAGGAGAGUAUUUAUUGCAGCAAUAGUCCUUGAGAUGUAGAAUACAAAUAAACAUACAAAAAGUAACAUUGAAACACCUUCCAUUGAUUAUCUGUUCACUCUUUUCUUCAAGUUCUGAAUAAUCUUUUGAAAAAAAUUUAGUAUACUAUCUAACAACCUGAGAUACAAAAAAGGAAACUCUAAAUCAUUGAUAGGUCUACAGGAAGUUUUCAUAAAGAAUGAAAGUCGUGAUAUUUUUUUUUAAAGAAAGGUGGGCUCAUCACUGAUAGUUUUAUAGAAGCAAGAGACACAUUGAACUCAUUAGGAAUAAUAUCUAAAAAAAAUCUUUAAAUUAUUUUUAAAAAAUUAAAUAAGUUUUUAUUCUUUUAUUGUAUUUAAUAAAACUCUUAUAUUUCUAUUUUAAGUUAAAUAAAAGUUAUUAUAAUUAAUAUUUGACUGAGUCAAAAUGCCAAUUAUCAUUCUAUGCCACGUUAUGCUUAUGCAUAUGUUGAUACCUAAUAAUGGAUGAUGAUGAUGUGGCAUCUUAACGUGGCAUAAUGAAAUGAUCAUGCAGUAUUUUCACUUUCCAUAUCAAUGCUGCAUGAGAAUAAAUAACAAAUAACAUUUUAAUUAAUGAUAAUUAGUUAGCCACUAGUCAUAAGAGUUUAUUUGAUCCAAAAUAAAAUACAAAUGUUUGAUUGAACACAAUAGAAAAAUAAGGGUUUAUUUGAAUUUUCUUAAAUAAUUCAUGAGCUUUUUUUAGUAUUAUGUCAAUUUGUUACUAGAAAAUAAUUCUUGUAAUAUAAAAUUGUGUAUAUUACAUAAGUGAAUGAGGUAUAUGAAUUUUCUUGUAAAGAUAGUGCAAACUACCUGGCAACAAGACCAAAGCCAAUUUCAGAAAUUUUUUACACUUUUCUUGAACUGAGAGUGUUGAGCUUUAUAAGGAUGGAAAGCCUAUUGGGUAUAGUUUUCAAUCCAUUAAACGAAUCUUGAUUUUGAGUUUUGUAGCUUAGGAUGUAGUCAUUUUAACGAGUGAUGUGCAAGCUAUCCAGAUUAUGAUUUAGGAAAUUUUAGAUUAUUUUACAUAGUUUCAAGUGAUAAUUAGAUUUUAGAGAGUUAAGAUUAUUUCUAAUAUGUUUAAAUGAUUGUUAUUAGGCUUUUGAUUAUUUUUGGGAGAAAGCAUGUUGCUCGAGUGAAGGAAGGUACAAACCUUGCUUGUUUUAAAAUUAUCGUAUAUGUAUAUUUCUUGAAACAUUUGAACAUUUUAUUUCAUUAUUUUCAAUAUAUGAUUAUAGAGUCAAACAUAUAAUUAUUAUCUUUUUUUGGUGUGUAUUCAUAUGAUGAAGAGUGAUUUACAAAUGUUUUAGUUCAUUCAUAUGAUGAAGAUUGAUUAUGAAUGCUUUGGUUUAUUCAUAUGAUAAAAAUUGAUUUAUGAAAGUUUUGGUUUAUUAAUAUGACGAAGAUUGAUUUACAAAUGUUUUGGUCUAUUCAUACGAUGAAUACUGAUUGAUGAAUUUGAUGAAAUCUUCAAUUAUCUUUUAAUGAAUGUUUUAAGAGCUAUGAAAUGAUCCUUGGAAAGUGAGGUAAUCAAUACCAAAACUACUUCUGUGGUCCUAUUAACGGGUUAUAGUAAUUAGUAUAUGGCCUAGUUAAUGAGUUACAAUAGUUAGCAUAUGGUCCCAUUAAAGGUUACAGUAGUUAGCAAACAACACCGCUAAUGGAUUAUAGUAAUUAGCAUUCAACAUCGUGUCACAUUCCAUUUUAUAGAGGGAUCGUGACCGGCAUAUGGACCUAUAUAGGUAUAGCUCGCUAAGCCAAAGCAAACCUCCUUACAUUCAUCCAUUCAUAACUUUGCCCAUUUAUCAUAAUCAUCAUACAUAAAAGCAUACAAUAUCAACACAUGCAUGCAUCCAUAGGCAACUAUACACAAUUAUGGAACUUCUCAAAAUAAAUAGUGUGAGUGCAUUAUUAUCAUCAUAGUUCCAUAAUCUCAUGCAUUGUACCAUAUAACAUUCAUUUACACCUUUAGGUGUCUAUAUAGGCUCUCAAACCACCUUUGCACAGGAAAAGUAAAGACCGACUCGUGAAUGGAACAUGACCUAACUCUUUAACCAUCAAGUGGUUGUUAGACACCUAUCAAAGAAAGAAGACCAAGAGUUGGUCUUCACGAUAAAGUAAGUAAACUACUGACUGAUCUGCAAGACAAAAGUAGGGAAAAUAACAUGUACUUGUAAUCACAUGUCAUUCAUAAAUCUUGUAAUCACAUUUCAUUCAUAAAUCUGUGAGUGGAUACAGGGAACGGGACAAGCCAAGGGUGAGAGUUUUUCAUAACCAUGCACUUGUAAUCACAUGUCAUUCAUAAAUCUUCCAUCAUUUUCAUAAAUAUCAUGAAAAUGGCAUUUAAAUACAUUCUCAAUAGCAUUUAAGUGAAAACAAGUUUGUAUAAUUCAUUAGAAACUAUUAACCUUUGAUAAUCCUUUUAAAAACACUUGAAAACUCAUUUUUGUGAAAAAUCUAUUGAUACAUUAGAAAUGUAUUGAUACAUUUUACAUAAAAUGCCUCUUUUUGCAUUCUAUCCAAAAUGUAUCAAUACAUGUUCUUCAUGUAUCAAUACUUUAGGCACAAAAACCAUUUUUUGUAGGUAAAAUCCUACAUAUAACCUUUCCUUAUGUCUUGCUAUCUCAUAGGGCUAUCCUUUUGGGCUAGAAUUCAACUAACCAAACUUUCAUUUGUCACAUUCUAGCGUAUGUCUCCUCAUUAAUAGACAUUUAAUCAAAAACAUAAAAUCAAGACCAUUAAUACAUAGAGCCAUUCUAAUAAGCGAUAAACAUUUCAUAACUUUUGAGUAGUCCUUGUCCCAUUCAAGCAGGUAAUUAUUUAAUCCUCACAACCUAGGAUUCUUAGUGCGUUCUAUGAGUAGCAUAUCAACUUCACCCACAAUCUUUGAGUGGUUUCGCACCAACUCAAGCAAAUAGUGAUUAAUCCCCCACUAUCGUCAUAGGAUUUCUCAAGUAUAAAAUUGUUCUCAUCCAUGACUUGCAGCAUAAAGUAAAAUCAUUCUCAUGCUUAGCCUAUAGUGUAUAUGAAUUCUCAGCGCAUACAUCUCAUGGCAUACAUUUUAUAUUUUAUCUCAUAAAUUAUUCUCGUGCCUAGCCCAUGGUGUACAUGAUAUUCUCAACACAUACAUCUUAUGGCAUACAUUUCAUAUCUUAUCUCAUAAAUCAUCAUCAUAUCAUAGGAGGGAAAUCAUCAUCCUCCAAACCAAUCAUCAUACAUAACAUGCAUUUCAUAGUUGUUCAUAAUCUCAUAAAUGGAACUUAUGCGUCCAUCAACCUUUACAUGCUACAUUAUGUCAAUCAUGUACAUUAUACCAUUCAUAUCAUUUUGAAGAAAAACAUUUGAAAAGGCUUGUCCCACAUUGUUGAAAACUAAUACAUAAUAGGAUAUUUACAUACACAGUAGACUCGCAAACAAUUUGAAAAUCAUUUGUGUUAACUCACACCAUAAAUCAUCAUUAAAUCAACUUUUUAAUCAUACCUUUCGAAAACUAGUUGAAAAACCUUGAACUCAAAUCCUUUGACAAACCAUUCUUUGAAACAACAUUUUAUCAUGCAUAAUCAAUCAUUGCCAUAAAAAUCACGCUCACUUUACAUAUUAAAAUACUUGAAAAGGUGUAUCCACUCACCUAAUUGAAGACUCGAUCUCUAGCAACAAUCAAGACUCCACUCUAGCAUUCGCCUCGAAGUUUUCAACUAUUCUUAACAUUCAACAAUCAUUACAAUCGAUAUCUAGAUUUAUAAUUUUAUAAUAACCAUUCUAGAUUUUUUCGAAACUAAUCAGAUUCAUCGAAAACUAAUUUUCUAGCUUAAACCCACUGUUAUUUAACAUAAUAAAUCCUUAGGAACCCAUCAAUCCUUUAUCGUUACCUUAGGUGAACUUUAGUGUUAAGGGAAAUUACAAAACAUUUGAGCUUUGGUAAUCAAAUGAAAAUAUGGGCAUAAAAACAAUAUAUUUUUAGUUCUGAAAAAUCAACAUUUAAAGGUUUCAAAGUUAAAAAAUGUUGCCUUGUUCAUAAAACUUAAAACCAAGUUUUCAAAUCUUCAAAAAUGGUGACUUGGGUGAAAAAUGGGUGUAAGAGGGUUUAGAGGUGAGGGAAUACUUGAUAAAAAUAUUUGAGGUAAAAAAUCCUUGUAAAAAUGUGACCUAUUUAUGCUUAAGAGUGUGAAAAUACAAUUUUGCCUUUUUUAUUUUUCUGAAAACAACGAAAUGUAUCGAUACAUUGGUUUUUGAAAAAUUUCUAUCAAUACAUUUGGCCAUGUAUCAAUAAAUGUUCAUCGAAAUCCUUUUGGAAAGCUUUCUAGACUAAAUCUAUCAAUACAUAUGGCCAUGUAUCCAUAAAUAUUCUUCAAACUCUUUUUUAAAAGUAUUCUAAGUUGAAUUUAUCGAUACAUAAAGAACAUGUAUAGAUUUGCUUCAGUAUGUAAAAAUACACUUAGAAACUUGUCCAAAUGGAUUUCUUUUAAAAUCCAAUCUUGCCAAACAUAAUAACAUUUCAAAACAUAAAAUUUUCUAAGGUUAGAAACCGAAUUUAUUGUUUCAAAACAAUAAUUUCACAUGUUCAUCCAAGGAUUUUAUUAACUAAUCCUCUUACUUAAGGUGGGAUUUCACAUCCCACUAUUGGGUUAUAACAGUUAGCAUAUGACACUACUAACACGUUAUAAUAGUUAGCAUACAUUCCUACUAAUGGGUUAUAAUAGUUAGUAAUGAUCAUGAGAAUGAUAUUGUCGAUAUGGUCCUAUCACAAGUUAUAGUAGUGACAAUAGCUAAAAAUGAUGAAACUUUAUAACUUUUAAAGAUUGAAUUUAUGAUUUGUUCAAACGAUAUUUGAAGAAUAACAUUUGAUAGUCAAUAAUUUAUAAACUUAUGAAAUUGUUUGUUUUUGGAUAUAAUGGUACUUUGACGAUAUGAAAGCAUGGUUUAUUGAAAUGCUCUUAAAUGAUUUUAUAUGAUAUAUUGAAAAUGAUGCUUGAUCCAGUAAGGUGUGUGUAGUUAUACUUGUUGAACUUUGGUUUGAUCAUUCCUUUAUUUACAGUUUGCAAAUGACUAGAGAUGAGAGAUUCAGAAUUAUGGAAACUAAGAAAAUGAUCUGAGAUGCCUACUUUAGUAUCAAGACUUCAUUAGUUAUGUUGAAACUCUUAUCAUGUGCAAUUGAUAUUUUAAGUUUCUAGUUGUUUAAUUUAUCAUCUUGAAAGCUUUAAUUGGAUUGUAAUAGUUAUAUAUGUGAAUAUGUAAGAAUGGAAUUGUUAGUAUAACUUCAAUUGAGGAUUUAAAUAUAGAUGAAAUAUAGAAAGGCUUAAGGAUGGCAACGGGUACCCUAUUAUAGGGUACCCGCGAGUACCCGACCUGGUUAUAUUGGGUUAAGGUACCUUAUAAUCUAGUUUGGGAUGGGUUCAGGAUCUGAUUUCACUAUUCGUAUUGGGUUUAGGUAGGGUUUAGGAACUACCCCUUGGGUACCUACUACCUGAACUUGAUUAUGUUAAUAUUCGGGUUACACAGGUACCCGCCCCGAACCCGAUCCUAAUAUCCGUUUAUAUAUAUUUUAUUGUUAUUUAAAUGAUUAAAUUAAAAAAAAUCAACAUUAAUAUAUUUAUUAAAAACUGAUAAAUAUAUCAAAAAGUACGGUUAUUCAAAUUAUUAAUGUGAUGACAUUAAUAUAUUUAAAUUAAAAAAUUAUUAGAUUAUAAAUUAUGUUUAAAUAAUAUGAAUAUCAUAUCAUAAUACAAAGAAAUAUAAUUACUAUUAUUUAUAUACUUUAAACAUAAAUAUAUUUACUUUUUAUUUUGUGUUAACAUUACAAAAAUUAUAACUUAUUAAUAUAUAUACUUCAAAAGAGUCUUUGAGAUUAGAAUAGUUUUGGAAUAUAACUAUUUUUUUAAUUUCAUGUAAUUAAAGACAAACCCAUAUAGUUAAUUAAAUUAAUUCAUUAAACUAUGAUUAUUAAUUAACUUAGAAUGUUUUUUAAUAUAUACAUUGUAUAUAUUGGGUUCAUUUAUAAGAAAUAUAAUUACUAUAUUAUAUAUAUAUACUAAUACUUUUAGUAUUUAUAUACUUUAAAUAUAAUAUAUUUACUUUCUAUUUUAUAUUAACAUUACAAAAAUUAUUAAAUUGUAAAAUUAUUAAUUAAAAUAUAUACACCUUUAUUUAUAUAAACUUAUAAUAUACAAACCUUAAAAGAAGUUGUGAGAUUAGAAUAGUUUUGAGACCUUAUUAUUUUUUUUAAUUUCAUGUAAUUAAGGACAAACUCAUAUAAUUAAUUAAAUUAAUUAAUGAAACUAUGAUUAUUAAUUAACUUGUAAUGUCUUUUAAUAUCUAUACUUUAUAUAUAUUGGGUUCAUUUAUAAGGAAUAUAAUUUCUAUUAUAUAUAUACACUAAAAUACUUUUAAUAUAUAUAUUCUUUAAAUAUAAAUAUAUUUACUUUUUAUUUUAUGUUAACAUUAUAAAAAUUAUAACUUAUAAAAUUAUUAAUUAUAAUAUACAUAUAUACACACUUUAUAUUAUAUAACUUGUAAUGUCUUUUAAUACAUACACUUUAUAUUAUAUGUUAUUUUCAUUUAUAAAGAAUAAAAUUACUAUUAUAUAAGUUAAUAAUUAUUAAAUAAUAAAAUAAUAUUGAUUUAUUUUAUAUAUUAUGUUCAUUUAUAAACACACUUUAUAGUUUUUGAUUAUUUAAAUUUAAAUUUUAUUAUUUGUGUUUUUAUUAAUUUAAUUAGUAGUUAAUUUAAGAAUUAUGUAAGAAAAAUGUUAUUGUAUAUGGAUACGGGUUCGGGUUCAGGUAAUUGGGUACCCAUGAAGAACAGUUUAAUAAAUUUUUUUAUCUAAUCGGAUUUUUAAACUAGUUAGAGUAAUUAUAUGGUAGUGGGAAUGUAUUAGGAAUAGGGUUAGGAUAGUAAUUUUUAAAAUUAUUUGAGUAGUUAAUAGGGUUAUGAUAUUUGAUUUUUUAUAGGGUUAGGGUUCAAAUAUCUCGAAAUUAACGGGUAUACUACUCAUUGACAACCCUAGAAAGGCUUCAUAUUACUUUGGGACAUAGUCUCAAGAGGUAAUAUAGCAGUGUUAUGUCCUUGUUUUAGGACUUCCAUGUUAAAAAAAAAAACUCUCGUAUUCCAAAAUUGUAUAUAUUACAUAGGUGAAUGAAGAACAUAUUUAUAUAAAACUAAUCCUAUUCAUAAUCUAACUCUAACUAACUAACAGGAUUCUCUUAACUAGAUAUUGUAGUUUAAUUAAGUAAUAGGUAAUAAUAUUGUAUUAUAACUCUUAUUAAAUAAUUUGUAUAAUUAUCUUAACAGAAUUUAUAUUCAAUAUUUCCCUGCGUUACUCAAAGGGAAUUUUCAAAGUCUAUGGUUGUGGCCCGUAGACUAUUGAUUGACAAAGAAAUAUGAAAACCAAGGCUUUGAACAAGUUUGGCUUAGCUAUUUCGAUUGCAGUGCUGUUGUAUUUUUUUAUAUGAAAGAAGGUUUCACUUCCUUUUGGUUUGCCAAUUCAAUUACGAAGUCUUCUCUUCUCACUUGUGCAUAGAUUACUAAUAUCAAAAUCUAGCAAGACCUCACAAGUCCCUCAUCAAUCAAGAUUUUCCUUUUCCAUUAAUAUGCGAAUAUGUAAGAAGGGAAUAUAUAAGAAUGAAUGAAAGGUAGAAAAGCUUUGUAUUAAUUUGGGAAUUUAGUCAUGGUAAUAUGAUUGUGUCAUGUCCUAAUUUUAAGGCAUAACAAUCAUGUUACAAAAAAAGAAAACUCUAGCAUUAUAAAAUGAUAACAUAUAUUUAUAUAAAAGAUUAGCCUAUUCAUUUAGUAGAUAUAAUUAACUAAUAGUAUUCUCUAAACUAUAUAUUGUAAUUUAAUUAGGUAAUAGUAUUGUAUUAUAACCUAAUUAAAUAAUGGUAUAAUAUCUUAACAUAAUUGAUAAUAUAGAAUUACCUAGCUAGCGUUUCUCAAUGGGAAUUUUCAAAGUAUAUGGUUGUGGCCCAUAAAAAACAAGGUUAUGAACAAGCUUGGUGUAACUGUUGAAUUUUUUUUUUAUACGAAAAAGGGUAUUGCUUAAUUUUGGGUUGUCAAGUUCCCCGUCAAUCAAGAUUUUCCUGUUCCGUAAUUGAACAUAAUUAUAUAUUAUAUAUGUGAAUAUGUAAAAAUUAAGGGAAUUGUAACUAUAACUUCAAUUGAGACUUAUCUAUGAAUGAAAGAUAGAAAGGUUUCAUAUUACUUUGAAACUUAGUCUCGAGAUUAUAUAAAUGUAUUAUAUCUUGAUUUCAAGACAUAACAAUCAUAUUAUAAGAAAAAAAUAUCUUAUAUUAUAAAAUUAUUUAUAAAAAAUAAUUUUAUUCAUAAUCUAACAAUAAUUAACUAACAAUAUUCUCAUAAUUAGAUAUUGUAGUUUAAUUAAAUAAUGGUAUUGUAGUUUAAUUAAAUAAUGGUAUUGUAUUAAAACUCUAAUUAAAUAAUUUAUAUAACUAAGGGAAAAAUAUGAGAAAAAUCAAUAACCUUAAAGGCUUAAAGUACCCAAAUAUUCAAAUGAGACUUUUUUUUUAUUGAAAUUAAGAAAAAAAUUUUACGGUCAUUGAUUGGAAAUAGAAGAAACAAUUGAGAAUUAUUAGCAUCAUGGGAAUUGGGAAGAGAUAAAAAAAAUUUAUUAGGUAUAUAAUUAGGAAAGUAAGAAAAUAUGUCAUUCUAUUAAUUACCUUGACUUUUACAUAAUUAACGAAGUGAGAUAAAUAGAUGAGAAUUAUUAACAUGUGAGAGGUGAGAGAAAAUAGAUUUUUUUAAACAUCUAAUUUAAAAAUAUUUUAUUAAUUAUCUUAAUUUUUAUAUAUUUUUAAUAAUAAUAAUUAUAUUAUAUUAUUAUAAAAAAGAAUUAAAAAAAAGGAAGGAACGGGAAAAUGAGAAAGGGAAGAAGAAAGAAAGAAGUCAAAAGGCCUUUUGGAAAAGAAAAGGUAAUUUUUUGACCUCUUCUUUUAUAUUUAAGCUCACUUAUUUUACGUAUUUUGCAUGAACUUACUUUUUUAUUGAAAAAUUAAAAUGUAUUGGCCCCAAUGGAGUUCGUGGAGGAGCCUCAAUUUCAACACAUAUGCACUGCCCAAGGCACUAAUGAAAAUAUUACAAUGCUGAAAUUGAAAUGAUUCCUGCAAAUUUAAGCAUUCACAUUGAAUUAAUGAUGCCCGGGUUGGACUUAGGCCUACUCUACAAUUUGGAGUGACUUCAAUAUUUGUUUAACAAUGAAAUUAUGGAACUUGCUUGCUUAGUGCAGACUCAGUUGCAGGAGGCAGAUUUCUUUCCAAGAAAAAGCCAGGCUGCUUCGGAUGAGGCAAUGUACUCUCACCGCACAACAUGAGCAGAUGGAAUCACUGACGAGAUUAAAAAGGUACAGGAAAGCUUCUUGAUAAUGUUAAUGUCAAACAAUUUCCAAACAAAUUCCACGAAAAAGCUAAUCAUAUAUAUAAAUAUAUAUAUUUUAAUGUUAAAAGUUCUCACAGGACUCAGCUACCGUAAAGCUAACCAUAUAUAAAAAACAAAUACACAUAACUAUGAAGGCUUGAAUUAAAGAAUAGUAUAGGAAUAGCUAGCUUUGCACAAAGUAUUGCUUGAUUUACUCAGAGAUUAUACAUGUAUCUUCAUGUUUGCUUAAUCUUACGUUUUUAUUAAACUCCAUGAAAAAUAUAUAGUUCUCUCUCGUCCAUAAAUCAUACAUCCCUUUGAAGUUUUGAAUCUAAAUCCGCGAUUUUAAAAAGUCAAUUUCCGUAAUUCAUGCAAGUAUAUACAUAUUUUUUAUAUUUAUUAAAAUCAAAGCAAACAAAAUCAUUUUGUGUUUUACAUGUGAUUUUCGAUUAUAAAGAAAAAACGUAAUUGAAUUUCCAAGUCAAUUUCAAAUUACUAGUUUCCUAUCCUUUGUUUUCAACAUUACCUGCUGUAAGUUUCCUUCACUGUUAGAUUAUUAACUUCCGUAUUUACAUCAUAAAUAAAUAAACUACUUAUUUAAUUUGGAUUAUUUUUUUAUUUGUUGAGAAGGAAAUUUAUUAAAUUAUCCUCAAUUAAGGUGGUCGUUAUAUAAACUUAUUUAUGAAACUUAUAAUUUCAGGGUCCAUGUAUAAAAUAAUAAUUAAAAACUCUUAGAUUUAUGGUCAUGCUCAUGCGGUUAUGUUUUGGUGUAGUGAUGUCACGUGAUUAUCUUGUUUCAUAGUAAUCCAAUUGUCAUAAUAAUAAUUGUGUUUUGAUAAGAUUCUUUAAGACACCAACAAAAACUAGUCAACUUUAAUUAAAAAUUAAAUAAGUAUGAGUAUUUGGAUUAAUCACUUUUAAUAUUUUCGGGGUUCAGAGAGAAGAAAGAUAUUGCUCAAGCAUCCUGAAGGUAAUUAAAUACAAAAUGUGAUGCCUGCAAAUCUUAGCUCAUCACUGUGAAAAUGGAGUAUCAUCUCAUCCAUUCCUGUUUUCUUCCUGAUCAGGUCUUAACAACCAAGCUGCCCCUACCUCCACUUGUCAAGUGACAAAUCCAACUACCGUGGCUCUAACAGGGUAACGGUGCACUCAUUUGCAGAAGAUAAUUUACAGUUGCUUGUUGAAGACUCAGCUUCAGGCAGAUUCCUCCCUGUGAAAAACCCUGGCUGCUUUGGUUGAGGCAAUGCACUUUCACUGCCUAGCAUUACAAUUACAAAAGACAUGUUUGGUCUAUCUUCUGGUCGUUGCUGCACGCACAAUAAUCCCACAUGAAUGCAUCGCUGCACUUCAGAUGGCAAGCAGAAGUCCCUAAGAGUUUCAUCAAUCAGUUCCAUUGGCCUCCUUUCUGUCCAUAAUCUCCAUGCCUGAAAUUUCAAAAAUUGAGAAUCAUGAUUUCUGCCUUGGAAAUUCAACAUGGUUAACAAUCUCAACAUUUAACCUUACAUGUCCGAGAAGAUUAUGAUCAUGAUCUGGGUGGGAAAAUCCCCUGUUCUUCUUUCCACUUACUAUCUCAAGGACAAGAACCCCAAAGCUAAAGACAUCAGAUUUCAUUGAGAAAACACCAUCAAUGGCAUACUCGGGAGACAUAUAGCCACUGCAAAUAUGUUGUGAAAACAAUUUAAUAGCAACAUAAAGGAUAGCCAUAAAGAAAGAUUUGAUUUACUUUGUACUUACUAUGUUCCAACCAGUCUAUUUGUUUUGGCCUCAGUUUGCUCUCCCCAAAUUGUUCUAGCUAAGCCAAAAUCUGAAAUUUUUGGGUUCAUUGCAUCAUCCAGUAAAAUGUUGCUAGACUUGAGAUCUCUGUGGAUUAUUCUAAGUCUAGAGUCUUGAUGAAGAUAAAGAAGUCCUCGAGCAAUUCCACCAAUAAAAUUCAUUCGUUUACUCCAGUCUAGUAGUUUGCUUCUUGUUUGAUCUGAUUCAGUUCCCCAUGUUAGCCAAACCACUAAUAGAAUCGUUGAAGAAAAAACAUCAGAAAAAGAAGAUUCUGAAACACGAAAGGAAUAGUAAAGGACCAAACCAAAAAUAAAGUAGUCCAAACUUUUGUUGGCCAUGUAUUCAUAGAUUAACAACUUUUCAUCUCCUUGAAUGCAACAGCCAAGAAGCUUUACAAGAUUGCGGUGCUGAAGUUUGGCAAUCAAAAUAACUUCAUUUUUGAAUUCUUUCAGUCCUUGUCCAGAAUUCUUUGACAGUCUCUUUACUGCUAUUUCUUGCCCCUCUUCCAGUGUACCCUUAAGACCAUAACAAAUAAAUGUUUUACUUAAAAAGAAAUAUAUGCUGCAGAACUUGAAUAAAGCCCCCGUAGCAUAGUAUUCCUUUACCUUGUAUACUGGUCCAAAUCCACCUUUUCCCAGCAAGUUAUCGACAGAAAAGUUAUUUGUCGCAUUUGCCAUGGUCCCAAAAGAAAAUAACGGCAAUUCCAUCUCUUCCUUCUACUUUUCAUCAGAGUCCAAUGUGUGAUUCUUUCUUGUCAAUCCUGAAACGACAAUAUAUGCCAGAUAUGUGGCCUUUGCUUAAGUUUCAACAUAAGUAAUCAAGUUUAUUUACCUUUCUUAUUACGUUUCCUCCAUCGUAUACACAAGACAGGUAGUAUCAGCGUUCCCAUUCCUAUUAUGACAGACCCGACUAUAAUUCUUACUCGCUUUUUCUCCCAGGACUGCCUUUUUGGUACAAUUUUGCCUGAAAGAUUCGAGAUGAAGUCAGAGAUAUGGAUUGCAGUUUUGGUGCGAUUUUAUUAGAAUAAAUAAUUCUGCAACAGGCAAACUGAUACUGUACAAACUUUGGAAUGCACAAGGAAAAGCUUUAAGAGAAAUAAGGAGUGGAAAAAGCAACAAUAUCCCCUAUUUUCUUCCUUCUUUCAUGAGCAAAGUACCUGAAAAAUGUUCUCUGUUUUCUACUCUUAUUGAUUCUUACCUCUAAAUCCUACUUCCUCUACACCAAAACCCUCAGGAUAUAAUUUCAUGAAUAGAUAUUGGAAAAAAAAAGAAAAGAUUUCAACACGAUCCACGGUGAAAAGAAGAGGACAAGUACCUAUUUCAGAAGCAGCAAGUCGAAUAUAAAGGUCUUGCCCAUCCUGCCCCCAAUCAUCUCUCAUGUCCAACAGAUCACCAAACCACAGCAGGCAUCCGCUUCCCCCCUCUCUGACAUCUGAAUUGGUAUAUGCAGUGCAAGAGCAAUCACUCAAACAUAACUGUGUACAUUCUUUGAUGUUCAUGGUCUUGUUAACCUUGGAAUGGGACGUGUCUGGCAAUUUCAAACCCGUAUGCUUGUGAAAGCUAUCUCUUUUGUUACAAACCAAUGGAGUUCUUCUAACACACCCAUCAUACCAAACUCCUGAAUUCCACUGGAGAGUCAUUUCCAUUGCAGGUAGCAUAUGCUCCACAAAGGGCAUAGUUCGAACACUGAUCAAGAUUUGACGCUGAUAAAGACUCCCAAUCACGUAGUUUAUCACUCCAUAUAAGGAUCUGACCAAAGCCUGAUGGGUUCAGCAUGGUCCGAGUAACUACUGAACUGUUUUUUGGCUCACUAGUGUAAUAGACUUCAUUCUCAUUCAACUCAAAUUCAAGUUUGACAGGAAGUAUUGCAUUCGCUUUCAUCCCUGUAAAGUGAAGACCAUUCCAUGAUCCUCCUCUGUACACUAUUUUAGAUCUCUUCUCAAUUACUAGUUGUGGAUAUCCACUGAUAUUUAUACGUACAAAGUAUUGGCCUGGAGCAGGAUCACCAGAAUUUUUCCAGGAUGACAGAAACCUCUCAAAACCUGUCACUAAGUUCUUCCCGAUUUUCAUUCCUGGAAGCAAAGUAUCACAAGGAUAAUCAAAACUCUGCCAUAGAUUGUCUUCAGCUGGGUUGUUGUCUGUUCCAUCUUUUACUACAAGAUUUCCUGAGUUGAGAAGAUGAGCAACAGGUUCUUGUGCAGUUUUUGAUGUAUGAGAUGACCAAACAGUGCUAUUUGUGCUAUUCAGAAGCGAAAGAAUUCCAUGGUUGGACAAAAGUAAGACUCCUUUAUCAUCAGAAAUUGGAGUUUCUCUAUUUGCCACCCAUACAACCGUUCCAUUAGAUACUUUCUUGUACCAUAUUCCUAAAAAUCGACUUGUGGAACUUAUUGUAGGGCUGAAAAAUCCAAGUUCGAAGCUCCCAUCAGCUGAGACCAGAGUUUCACCAUCUCUAAUGGAUUGACUUGGAGACAAAGUAUCUACUGCAUUAGCAGUCCUUAAGAUGGAGAAAACAAAUAAAUAUACAAGAAGUAACAAUGAAAUGCCUUCCAUUGAUUUUCUCAUGUUCACUCUUUUCUUUAAGUUUUAAAUAAAUCUUUCGGAAAAAAAAUUCAGGAUACUAUUAAGACAACCAGAAAUACAGAAAGGGAAGCUCCAAAUCAUAGAUGGGUCUACUGGCAGUUCUCGUAAAAUAUGAAACCUGUGAUUUUUUUAACGAAGGUGGGCUCGCCAUUAUAGUUUUUCCUUUGGAUGGAAAAAGGAGAUGCAUUGCAUUGCAUUGAUAAUACAGAAUUCCCCUGCGUUACUCAAGCGGAAUUUUCAAAGUCCCCUGCGUUACUCAAGGGAAUUUUCAAAGUCUGCAGUUGCGGUCCAUUGACUAAUGAUUAACAAAGAAAUCUGAAAAACAAGUUUGUGAACGAGUUGUUCCAAUUGAAGUGCUGUUGUAGUUUCUUAUAUGCAAGAAGGUUUUGCUUUCUUUUGCUUUGCCAAUUCAACUAAUUAGUCUUGUCUUGUCACUUUUGCACAUAUUUUUUUUAUUUUACCGAGUUCUGUGUUCUCAAAGUGAAAAGUUGAAGCUGAGAUGAAUUUUUCCGGAUAAUGGAGAUGGAAGAUGACAAAGAAAAUCUUGAAUGUUUCAAAUUUCUUGAGCUCCUUACUAUGGCUUCAAGUUUUUCAUGUGAACAAUCAAGAUCAUUCUGAUCUAGUGUAAUGACCUAGGUUGGGUCACUCGCCCAACAACGUUUUGUGAUCACGUCAUUGGUUUCAACUUUCAUAUAGACACUCAAUUCUUUAAAGUCUUCUUCAAAAUCACUGCAGCGAGCUUAAUUCUUAUAUGAAUUGAAACUAACAUGCAAAUGCACGUGUGGUGAACAAGUAGUAAAGUGAUAAGUAUAAGUGUCAUCUUACAAGGAGUUGGCUACAAUUCUUCAGUAAGUAUUAAAGUUGAGUCAAGCUAAUCUUAUCCAAACUAACCAAAGUAUGGAAUAUGAUUAAAAACAAACUAAUUAAUUAAGCCAAUUAAAGACAUGCAAGGUGAAAUAAUCUGGAAGCAAUAGUUUAAAAGUCUACUAUUAUGGCUGUAUUCAACAUUUCACUUGGAUUGUUAUUCCUCUAAUUAUUUAAUUCAAUGGGACUUGAUUCUAAUCUAGAAUCCUAAUGCAUGAACAAACUUAUGUUUAGGCAUUUGUACAAUAAUUGCCUAGAUUAGUUAGGCCUCUAUAUGUCUGUAGGAUUCAAUUAAACUAGGUUCUUUAAGCACGAUUUCUCCUUAGAUUAUAGUUGGCAUCUAGGCAUGUGUCUACCCUAGUUGCUAAUCAAGACACUUAAUUUCUAAGUGAUUUGAACACAUAUUAUCCAAGCCUAUGUCUAAUCUAAACUAACUUCGUCAAGUCUCAUUUAAAUACCACAUCCAAUCAAUUGGUGAUCAAGCAAUCAAUGGUCAAUAAAUUCAUAUUUGAAUAAACAUUAACAUACCAUUCAAAAUAAGUAAAAAAGCAACAAAUAAUUCAAGUUACAUGUAGAAAUCCACCAAAAUCCUACAUGAAAGCUAUUUAGUUCAUCAUAGUUACAGCAAAGUUUAAUAUUUCCAGAACAUAAGUCAUUUCUACAGUGGAAGAUAGGGAGAGAAAAGAAAAACUAGUGAAAGAAAUUAUUUGCUGCAGCUCUUAGAGUCAAAAUCUCCUUUGAUUUCUGCCUUUUUCUCCUUUUGUAGAAAGCUUCCUUUUCUAGCAAAAUAUUCUUUGCUUCCAGCACCCUUUCUUAACUAAAAAGAUCAUAUUUAUACUCCCUAUUAAAAGCCCUAGUUGCCAAAUUCAACAUAUGCAAAAUUGAGAUUGUAUGUGUCAGCACCAUGGCACUGUGCUUGUUGUGUAGUGCAUGUAGGUAAACCCAAGGUGGCACCACGACGCUGGGAGCAUGGCGUCGCAGCAUCGUGCCUGCUACCUUGGUGCCUUGUGUCCUUUAGCCUUUAUGCUAUUGCUAUUCCUGCUGUAGUUCAGUCAUUUCCUAUAUGAUUUUGACCAUGAUCCAAUUAGAACUGGACAAAGUGAUAACAUAAAAGUUGUAGGCCUUUCACUAAGCUUUCUAGUGAUCCAAUUUAAAUCUCAUCAAUCGGACUUCCGUAGCUUGAGUUACGUUCAAAUUUCUACAACAUAAUCAGAAAUCUCCUGAAGGAUCUUUACACCAUUCUUUGCCAUUUAAACCCAACAUGCUUGUGCACCUUCAAUAAUGAAGGACUCAAUCAGUAGAGGAUAAAAAUUGGACUUUUAUACAAGAAAUAAGCUAAAAGAACUCAAUUAACAAUACUUAAACAUGCUUUAAGCUAAUUAAUAAAAAGAUGUAAAAACUACCUAAAAUUGACUAAAAAAAAGCACAAAAGGACUUCAUUCUUUUAUACUUAACAUAGUACGAGAUAACUCUAUGAAAUAGGGUUAUCACACCCCCAAACUUAACAUUUUGCUAAUCCUCAAGAAAAAAUUAAAAUAAAGAAAGAAACAUAAACAUCGAAAACAUUGAACUAUAAUUUGGUUGCACCAAUCCAAAGAUCACUUAAGUCAUCUUAUUUCCUCAGCAUCCUAAGCAAAGAAUAAAUAUUAUUGAAGUUCACAUUUCACUAAAUUGCAAGCCCAUUUUCAAAGGAAAUCCCAUGUGUGAGUGUGGAGUUUCACGCAAUGAAAAUCAUGCCAUUUGAUAAGUUUAUGCUUAUGCAAUAAUUUAAUUUAGUCAAGAGAUUCAUAUGUUUGCUCUUUACCUCUCUCUCCACUUAUAUAGGCUCACACUUACUCAAGGAUCCAUAAGACUUAAUCAAGCUUGUAACAUAUGGCUCAGGUCAAGGUAGGAUAUAAGAUAAUAUAUGGCUCAAAACACCCUAAGCACGUAAUCAUUCUAGGAUCUAUAACGAGCCUUAAUCUUCACUACUUCUAGUCAUCCUUUUCUUCCUUUUCUUCUCCCUUUUUCUCUCAUCAAACACUUUAUUCUGAUAUAUAUAUAUAUUCUUAUCACUCCAUAAAAGGAACUGAACAAAGCCUGCUGGGUUCAGCAUGAGCCUAAUAACUUCUGAACUGUUUUUGAGCUCAGUAGUAUAAUAGACUUCAUUCUCAUACAACUCAAAUUCAAGUUUGACAGAAAAUAUUGCAUUCGUUCUCAUCCCUAUAAAGCGAAGACCAUUCCACGAUCUGUUCUGUACGCUAUUUUAGAUCCCUUCUCAAUUACUAGUUGUGGAUAUCCACUGAUAUUUAUACGUACAAAGUAUUGGCCUGGAGCAGGAUCAUCUGUACUUUUCCAGGAUGACAGAAACCACUCAAAACCUGUCACUAAGUUCUUCCCGAUUUUCAUUCCUGAAAGCAGAGUCUCACAAGGAUAAUCAAAACUCUGCCAUAGAUUGUCAGCUGGGUUGUUGUCUUUUCCAUCUUUUACUACAAGAUUUCCUGAGUUGAGAAGACGAACAACGGGUUCUUGUGCAGUUUUUGAUGUAUUUGAUGACCAAACAGUGCUAUUUGUGCUAUUCAGAAGCGAAAGAAUUCCAUGGUUGGAGAAAAGUAAGACUCCUUUAUUAUCAGAAAUUGGAGUUUCUCUAUUUGCCACCCAUACAACCGUUCGCUUAGAUACUUUCUUGUACCAUAUUCCUAAAAAUCGACUUGUGGAACUUACUGUAGGGCUGAAAAAUCCCAGUUCAAAGCUCCCAUCAGCUGAAGCUAGAGUUUCACCAUUUCUAAGGGAUUGACUUGGAGAGAGUGUAUCUACUGCAGUAGCAGUCCUUAAGAUGGAGAAAACAAAUAAAUAUACAAGAAAGAAUGAAAUCGUCUCCACUGAUUAUCUUAUGUUGCACUUCUUUCUUCAAAUAUGAAUGAAUGCUUUGGAAAAUUUAGGAUAUUACUGAGAUCAACCAGAAAUGAUGAAACAGAUGCUCUUAGAACAUGGUAGGUCUACUGACAAUUUUCUAUUAAAUGCAGAAAUUGUGAUAUUUUUUGUCAACGAAGGUGGGCUUAUCAUUAAUUCUCUUGCGUUGCUCAAAUAACGAUUGACAAAGGAAGCUGAAAACCAGAAUGUUCUGAACAAGUCUGGGUUAAUAUAUUUCCAAUUGAGGUGCUGUUGUUGUUGGAUAUAAUUUUCAACAAUAAUGAAUGUAGGCCACAAUCCUCAUUGAAAAAGUAAAAGGAAAAAGAGUAAUUUAAAGAGGAAAUUGUGAGGAAUGAACUAUCUCGAUAAAGACAUUUUAAAAAUAACCAUAAAAAUAAAUUUAACUAUUUUUAGCCAUAUUUAGUCAUGAUUUGAUAAAAAUACCUUUUAAACUAUAUCAAAUAAAUUAAACCAUUCAUCACAAUUUCUCUCCAUUUGUACUUCGGAUUUCUCUCUCUCACCAUCCCACUCUCUCAAAUUUUAUUGAUUUCUCUCUUCGGCAUUUGUCUGCUAUGCUUUCGAUUUCUCUCUCCCGCAUUUUCAAAUUUCUCUUUCUUACGCUUUCAAGACACCAAGCAAUGGUUUUGACGUGCUUGGGUAGGUGACUAUUUGGGAAAUUCAAUGUUUAGGUAUUUUGGAUAAAACUAAAAUGGUGAAAAUAAUCACAAAUGUAUGAAAUAGCUUUUAAUUGAAUCAAUUAGGGACCUAGACACUAAAAAACUCAAAAUUUUGAAAUUUAUAAACCGAAGUUUUCAAAGGAAUUUUUUUUUAUUUUUAGUUAAAGUAGGUGUUUUAGAUAAAAAAAAUUUAUAUUUUGAUUUAUGAAAACAUAUUAGAAACACUUUAAUCAGUGCCAAAUUGUCAAAAAAAUAAAAAGAGUUGAGAGGAUUGGAAGUUUUGGUUCGUAAGUAACAACAACAUUUUAGGUAUUAAAGUGUAACAAAAUGUUUUUGAAUAUGUCAUGUAACAAUAAUAUUUUUUCAACAUGGUAUGUAACAACAAUAUUUCUUUUUUCAACAUGGCGUGUAAUGAUAAUUCUAUUUUGUAGAAUUAUUUUACUCUAAUUUUGUUAUUAAAUAUUAGCUAAGUCCUCAAUUUUCAAUUAUAAUUUACUUAUUUUUAGUUGUUUUUAUAAUUAGGUUAAUUUUAAGUUAGUUAUUUUAAUUUUAUGUUAUUUCUUUUAAUUUGUUUAUUAUUGAUUAGUUUUUAUAUUUUUUGUAGAAUUAAAGGUGAUUUGGGCUUAAUUUUGGAAAGUAAGAUGUUCAAAGAUCUAGAAUCUGCUUGCAUAUGUUAUAGUAUUUUGGCCACAUCUCGAGUUACAGAACUCCAAAUGAUGUGAUUCUUAGACCAGUGGAAAGUUAAGAGACAGAUCUACAACUUUUGUGUAGAUCACUUUGCCCAGUUCUACCUCGAAGAUAGAGAAAAUCGUGUCAAAAAAUAGUAGACGUACUGUACCGGGAAUGAAAAUUUGUAAAGAUUGACAAUUUGAAUUUUGGGCCUCUUAUUAUACUUUUAAGCCCAAUUAAACCCUAAGUCAGCUUAAGGAACUUUAGGUUUAGUCUAUUAGUAUAAAUAGAAUAUGUUUGACAACAUUAAAAAAAGAGGAAGACAACCUUUGGGAGAUUCAAGAAAUUAGAAGUUGAGGCUGAAACUUGAAGAUCAAGGCGGAGAAUAUUGUUUUGUUUUCUCUCUUAGCUUUUAUCUUGAUACUUUUAAUGGUUGAAUUUACACAAUGUUAUUUUAUUUUGCAAUUAUGAGUAGCUAAACUUCUUUCUCUAAGAUUGCAAUUGAACUCACAUGUAGUUUAAGUUUUUAAUAUCUUUCUUACUUAUUUUAAUGGAAUUUGAAUUGUUUAUUUCAAUUUGUUCUUAAUGCUUUUAAUUGCCUGAUCACCAAUUAAAUUGAUCUAGGAACCUAAACAAACUUGGGAAAGGGAGUUUAGAGUAAACUAAAAUUGGGAUAGCAUAUGAUCAAAUUAAUUGAUUUGCAUAUAGGAUAAGGAUAUACCUAUAGGCCAUAUGUAGCCAGAUUAGAGCCUGAACUUAAUGAGUCUGUUUUAAUUUCAAUUCACAUAGGGAUAUAGUGUUUUGAUUAAAAUAGAUAUUUUUAUAGGAAGAGUCGGAAAGACCUUUAUAAAUAAUUUAGGACUCUAGGUUAGCAAUUCAACCCAUUGAAAUAAGUUAAGGAAGAGAGGUAAGAUUUAGAUGAACUGUGAGGAAUAUUGUAAUCCUAGGUUUGUUUAAUUUGAUAUUUUCUCAAGACUAUUAUUAUUUUGAUUUUUCUUAUUAGUUUUAAUUUCAGUUAAUCAGUUUUAGUUCAUUACUUAAUUUUGAUUGUUUGGAUAAAAUUGAAUUGUUUUAAUUUUAGUACUUAGUAAAAUUUUAGAUCAAUUCCCUGUGGGAUUGAUACUCUGCUUGCUAAUAUACUAUUUAUUCGAUACGUAUACUUGCGUAGUAGGAUUUUAACUGACAAGUUUUUGGCGCCGUUACCGGGGAAUUAAUUCUAGAUUUAUUACUAAUACUAAUACCAAACAAUUUAGUCUUACUUCAAAUUUUAUUUUUCUUAUUUUAAUUUUAACUUUUAUUUUCUUGCAGAUAUCUUUGGUCAUUGUAUGCAAAGAAGAGACAACUUGAAUCUUGUUCCUUUUGAUCCUGAGAUAGAAAGAACUUUCAGAAGGCGUCGCAGGGAGAAUUUACAAGUUGCAGUUUUAAAUUAGACAAUGGCCGAGGAUAACAUUAAUAAUGGUAAUAAUGCCAUUAAUGUGGUUCCCAAAGCAAAUAGAGCAUUGCAAGACUAUGCAGUUCCUCUGUUGCAAGAUUUGCACCAAAGCAUUAGGAGACCUUCCAUCAAUGCGAAUAAUUUUGAAAUUAAACCAGCCUAUAUUCAGAUGAUUCAGUCUUCAGUCCAGUUUGGUGGGUUACCCAGUGAUGAUCUUAAUGCUCAUUUAGUAAAUUUCCUAGAGAUUUGAGAUACCUUUAAAUAUAAUGGAGUAACUGAUGAUGCUAUUAGAUUGAGACUGUUUCCAUUCUCUCUAAGGGAUAAAGCAAAAAGCUGGCUUAAUUCACAGCCUAAUGGGUCUAUCACUACAUGGGAAGAAUUGGCUCAAAAGUUUCUCGCAAAGUUCUUUCCACCUGCAAAGAUUGCAAAGUUGAGGAACGAUAUCACCUCAUUCACACAAUUUGAUGGUGAGUCCUUGUAUGAAGCUUGGGAGAGGUUUAAAGAACUAUUGCGAAGAUGUCCACAUCAUGGGCUUCCUAAUUGGUUGCAAGUUCAGACAUUCUAUAAUGGGCUUAUUGGGUCAAUUAAAACCACAAUUGAUGCUGCUGCUGGUGGGGCAUUGAUGAGUAAAAAUGCAGCAGAUGCUUAUAAAUUGUUGGAAAAGAUGGCUUCAAAUAAUUAUCAAUGGCCUUCAGAAAGGUCGGGUUCGAGAAAAGCUUUUGGAGCUUAUGAAGUUGACGCAAUGAGCAACUUAGCUGCGCAAGUGGCUGCACUGUCCAAAAAGAUCGACAUAAUGGGAGUUCAUGCAGUUCAAAAUUCAAUUUUUGAGAUGUGUGGGGAUGGCCAUUCAAAUGAUCAAUGUCCAUACAAUUCUGAAUCAGUUCAGUUUGUGGGGAACUUUAACAGAUAGCAAAACAACCCAUAUUCUAAUACUUAUAAUCUUGAUUGGAGAAACCAUCCAAAUUUUUCAUGGAAUAACAAUGCAGGGCCUUCCAAUCCAAAACCCAACAUGCCUCCGGGAUUUCAACAGCAAGUUAGACCACCACUUCCUGAAAAGAAGCUCCAAGUGGAAGAACUACUUUUGCAGUAUAUAUCCAAGAAUGAUGCGAUAAUUCAAAGCUUUGGAGCAUCCUUGAGAAAUCUUGAAACUCAAGUGGGACAACUUGCAAAUUCUGUCAAUAGUAGACCUCAAGGUUCCUUACCUAGUGGCACACAAAUCAAUCCUAAAGGUAAGGAACAAUGCUAAACAAUCACCUUAAGGAAUGGAAAAGAGAUUGAAGGGGUGAAUGAAAAAGUAGUUGAACCUGAGAAUGAACAUGUUGAUAAUGAAAGAAUUUGUGAGAAAGAAAGUGAAGACAAACAGAAAGAGAAGGUCAAGGCUGAAAAUUAAGGAGUUUCUCAAGUCAUCCAUCCUCCACUACCUUUUCCCCAAAGGCUCCAAAAGCAAAAGCUUGAGAAGCAAUUUCAGAAGUUCAUUGAUGUCUUCAAGAAAUUACACAUAAAUAUUUCUUUUGUUGAAGCUCUGGAACAAAUGCCUAGUUAUGUCAAGUUCUUGAAGGACAUCCUCUCCAAAAAGAGAAAGUUAGGUGAGUUUGAAACUGUCUCCCUUACAGAAGAGUGUAGUGCAAUUCUCCAAAACAAGCAACCACCAAAACUCAAAGAUCUAGGUAGUUUCACAAUCGCUUACACUAUUGGUAAUUUAUUUUUUACAAAACCUUUGAGUGAUUUAGGUGCAAGUAUCAAUUUAAGGCCUUGGUCAAUUUUUGAGAAACUUGGUUUGGGGGAAUGCAAACCCACUUCUGUAACUUUGCAAUUGGCUGAUCGUUCUUAUGUGUACCAAAGGGGAAUUAUUGAAGAUGUUCUUGUCAAGGUAGAUAAAUUUAUUUUUCCAAUUGAUUUUAUAAUUCUUGACAUGGAAGAAGAUAGGCAAAUUCCAAUCAUUCUUGGGAGGCCAUUCUUAGCAACUGCUAGAGCUUUAAUUGAUGUUGAAAAAGGUGAGCUUACUUUGAGAGUUCAAGACCAACAGGUAACAUUUAAUAUUUUCAAAGCUUUAAAAUUACCUGUGACAUCUGAAGACUGUUUUUCUAUGAGUGUAGUGAACAAUUUGACACAUGAUGUUUUCUUAGAAGAAAAUCCCAAUGAUCCUCUUGAAGCAUGUUUAAUCGCUAACUCUGAUAGGAAUGAUGAUGAGUUUAUUGAAUAUUCAAAUUUGUUGAAUGCUCACUCCAGAUUUAGAACUAAUCAUCAAUUUGAGUCUUUAGAUAUUUCAGCUUCUUUGGUGCCAACUUCUAAGCCUUCCGUUGAGGAGCCACCUACUUUGGAACUCAAACCUCUACCAGUACACUUGAGGUAUGCUUUUCUUGGAAAAUCUUCCUCUCUUCCGGUUAUUAUUUCUGAUGCUCUUACUAGCUUGCAAGAGGAGAAGUUAUUGCGAACACUUAGAGAAUUCAAGAAAGCAAUAGGGUGGACCAUAGCUGAUUUUAAGGGAAUUAGCCCUUCUAUUUGCAUGCACAAAAUUCUUCUUGAGGAAGAUCACAAAGCCACAAUUGAACAACAAAGAAGAUUGAAUCCCAUCAUGAAGGAAGUGGUUAAGAAGGAAAUCAUCAAGUGGUUGGAUGUCGGAAUAAUCUACCUUAUCUCUGAUAGCUCAUGGGUAAGUCCAGUUCAAUGUGUUCCUAAGAAAGGAGGAACGACUAUGAUGGCCAAUGACAAUAAUGAGCUCAUUCCAAUAAGAACGGUGACUGGAUGGAGAGUGUGCAUGGACUACCGCAAGCUCAACAAAGCUACAAGGAAAGAUCACUUCCCUCUUCCAUUCAUUGAUCAAAUGUUAGAUCGCUUGGCUGGUAAGGAAUAUUAUUGUUUUCUAAAUGGUUAUUCUGGCUAUAACCAAAUUGCUAUUGCUCCUGAAGAUCAGGAAAAGACUACAUUUACAUGUCCUUAUGGCACCUUUGCUUUUAGAAGAAUGCCAUUUAGAUUAUGUAAUGCACCUGCCAUCUUUCAACGAUGCAUGAUGGCCAUAUUCACAAACAUGGUGGAAAAAUGCUUGGAGGUAUUUAUGGAUGAUUUCUCAGUCUUUGGAAAUAAUUUUGAUGAUUGUCUUUUAAAUCUUGCUAAGGUACUCAAGAGGUACGAAGAGACAAAUUUGGUGCUCAAUUGGGAGAAAUGUCACUUCAUGGUGCGAGAAGGUAUUGUUCUUGGGCACAAGAUCUCUAGUAAUGGCAUUGAGGUAGAUAAAGCAAAAAUUGAAGCAAUUGAGAAAUUACCACCUCCAAUAAAUGUCAAAGGUAUUAGAAGUUUUCUUGGUCAUGCUGGCUUUUAUAGAAAAUUUAUUAAGGACUUUUCAAAAAUUUCUAAACCAUUUUGCAAUUUAUUGGAGAAAGAUGUGCCAUUUAAGUUUGAUAAUGAAUGUCUUGUUGCUUUUGAUGAAUUGAAGAAAAGAUUAAUAUCUGCACCUAUCAUAAUUUGUCCCGAUUGGACUCUUCCUUUUGAGCUAAUGUGUGAUGCGAGUGAUUAUGCGAUGGGAGCUGUUUUGGGACGGAUAAAAUCUUCCAUUCCAUCUAUUAUGCUAGCAAGACUUUGAACGAGGCUCAGAAAAAUUAUACCACGAUAGAAAAGGAGCUUUUAGCUAUGGUUUUUGCUUUUGACAAAUUUCGCUCCUAUCUCAUGGGGACAAAGGUGAUAGUGUACACUGAUCACUCAGCUAUCAAGUAUUUGAUUGCCAAGAAAGAUGCUAAGCCAAGAUUGAUAAGAUGGAUCCUCUUACUUCAAGAAUUUGAUCUUGAGAUUCGAUAAAAAAGGAAUAGAAAAUCAAGUUGCAGACCACCUCUCAAGAUUAGAAAUUAAAGCUCAAGGUAAGGAUUCGACCAUAAUCAAAGAGACGUUUCCUGAUAAACAAAUCCUUCAAGUUGGUAAGAAAUCACUUCCUUGGUAUGCUGAUUUUGUAAACUAUUUGGUAAGUAAUAUUAUUCCCCUUUAUUUAAAUUUUCAUCAGAAAAAGUUUUGCACGAUGUUAAAUUUUAUUUUUGGGAUGAGCCUUACUUGUUCAAACAGUGUAAAAAUCAGAUGUUUAGAAAAUGCGUCCUAGAGGAAGAGAUUCAAAGUGUGCUUCACCAUUGCCAUUCUUUAGAUUAUGGAGGACAUUUUGGAGGAACAAAGACUGCUGCUAAAGUCCUCUAAUCAGGUUUAUAUUGGCCUACAUUAUUUAAGGAUGCUCAUAAUUUUGUAUUGCAUUGUGACAGGUGCCAAAGGGUGGGAAAUAUCUCAAGGCGACAUGAAAUGCCUCUCAACAACAUCAUGGAGAUAGAAAUUUUUUAUGUAUGGGGUAUUGACUUCAUGGGUCCGUUCAUAUCCUCAUAUAACAACAAAUACAUUUUGCUUGUUGUGGAUUAUGUCUCCAAGUGGGUUGAAGCAGCAGCCUUUCCUCAUAAUUAUUCGAAGGUGGUCAUGAAUUUCAUCAAGAAAAAUAUUUUCACUCGAUUCGGCACUCCAAGGGCAAUCAUUAGUGAUGAGGGAAGUCACUUUUGCAACAAAUAUUUUGAUGCCCUUUUGGCAAAAUAUGGAGUUAAACAUAAGGUUGCCACUGCGUACCAUCCUCAGACUAGUGGCCAAGCAGAAGUAUCGAAUCCCGAAAUCAAGAGGAUUUUGGAGAAAAUCAUGUGUCCCACAAGAAAAGAUUGGUCCAAGAGAUUAGGAUGAACUGUGGGCAUAUAGGACUGCUUAUAAGACCCCGAUUGGUAUGUCUCCAUAUAAGUUGGUCUUUGGCAAAGCUUAUCACUUACCGGUGGAACUUGAACACAAUGCUUAUUGGGCUGUCAAAAAGUUAAAUUUUGAUCUACAAGCAGCAGGUGAGCAAAGGUUGUUGCAGUUAAAUGAGCUUGAUGAAUUUUGCCUUCAAGCUUAUGAGAAUGCUAAACUCUACAAAGAGAAAACAAAGCAAUGGCAUGAUAAGAAGAUAUUGGCAAGAAGCUUUGAGCCAGGACAAGCAGUGUUACUUUAUAAUUCUCACUUAAAAUUAUUUUCGGGAAAGCUCAAAUCAAGGUGGUCUGGUCCUUUUAUUAUCAAUGAGGUAUUCCCACAUGGAGCGAUCGAAGUUAGAGGGAUAGAUGGUCAAAAAUUUAAAGUCAAUGGAAAAAGAUUAAAGCAUUAUUGGGGAGGCGAAAUUAAUCAUCAACAAUCCUUAAUUCACUUGCUUGAUACGGCCUAGAGUCCAAGACAAUCCAGCUGAAGACUAUAAAUGAAGCGCUUCUUGGGAGGCAACCCAAGCUUCUUAAUCUUACUCAGUUUUGGUUUAUUUUAUUUUAUUUUUAUUAUUUCAUUAUUAUUUUACUUUAUUAUUAUUAUUAUUAUUAUUAUCUAUUCUUUUCCCUUUUUGCAGGUCAAAAAAUCGAUUCGGAGUAAGGGGAGUAUUCUUGUCCCUUGUCUUUUAUUUUCUUUUAUCACAUUGAGGACAAUGUUCAUUCUAAGUUUGGGGGAGUAGUUUAGAAUUUUGUUAGUUUAUUUACAUGUUUUAUUUGUGAUUUGCAUGUUUUGUUGUGUUAAAAAAAAAGAUUUGAGAUAGUUAUAUCUUAUUCUUGAUUGUCCCAAUCCUAGGAUGAUAUUUUAAUUAUCUUUUGAUUCUUAGCUUUUGGGAAACAUAUAGUUAUGAUUUAAUUUUAUGUGAUAUUCUUGUGUUAGCUUUAUUUUAGAAUGUGACUUCCAAUAAUUUGAAGCACUAUACUCUUUUACUUAGAAUUUAUGUGUGAUUUAGAGAAAUUUUAUAUUGAUGAAAAAACAUAGUGGAGUCAAGAAUUCUAGAAUUUGUUUGAUUCUCUCUCGAGGCGAAAUCUUAGAUAACAUUUAGGAUAGGAAGUGAUUUAGGCCAUCUUUGGAUCGUUUGAGCCUUUUUGAGCCUACCUUGUUAUAUUUAUCCUUAGUCACCCUUUUUGAGCCUAAUUUACCUUUUCUUUGUAAUCGCACAGUUAUAUUAGCCUUGGCCUGUUUAUUUAAUUCCAGCAAUUUGAACCUCUCGUCCCCUAAGUAUGUUAAUCGUUCUAAAGAGUGAUUUGAGCUUAAAGAUAAAUUGAAGGAGAAAGGUGUAGAAAAAAAAAAAACACAAAAAGUGAAGGUUGUUAGUAAAAUUACCCCUAGUCUAUAAUGGUCAAAAAUAAGUUUGGGGGUUGAAAAAAAAAGGGGAAAAGAAAAGAAAUAAAGUGUGUUGUACAAAGGAAAGUUUACUUCAAGUUUGGGGGUGCUAUACAAAAAAAAAAAAUUGAGCUCUUUAUAUGAUCUAGAUUGAUUAAGUGCUUAGGGUGAAUUUGAGCCUAAAUAUAUCCUUUAUCAUACCUUGACCCUAGCCUUACAUUACAAGCUUGAUAAAGACUUAUUGAUCCUUGAAUAAGUGUUAAUCUACAUUAGUAGAGAGAGAGAUGAAAAGCAAACCUAUGGGAUCCUAGUACUAAUCUAUGCUUAGAGUUGACAUAAAACUAAUCCGAAUUGCAUGAUAUUCUUUGUAAGAGAGCAUUCACACACACAGAGGAAGUCCAUUCGAAAAAUAAGUUUUCACUUGAAUUGAUGCAUGAAUUUAAGAAUUAGCUGUAUGUUACCUUAAGUUUGAAUUUGAGUUAAUUUCUGAGGAAAAAUUAGGAAAUCAUGAUUUGGUAUUUCUAUCUCCCAUUUAAGGAUUUUUUUUUUAUGUUUUAGUUUUCUUUUUAUAAUUUUCUUUUGCUCGAGGACUAGCAAAAUCUUAAGUUUGGGAGUGUGAUAAUUCUAUUUUAUAGAAUUAUUUUACUCUAAUUUUGUUAUUAAAUAUUAGCUAAGUCCUCAAUUUUUAAUUAUAAUUUACUUAUUUUUAGUUGUUUUUAUAAUUAGGUUACUUUUAAGUUAGUUAUUUUAAUUUUAUGUUAUUUCUUUUAAUUUGUUUAUUAUUGAUUAGUUUUUAUAUUUUUUGUAGGAUUAAAGAUGAUUUGGGCUUAAUUUUGGAAAGUAAGAUGUUGAAAGACCUAGAAUCUGCUUGCAUAUGUUUCAGUAUUUUGCAUAUGAAUAUGGGACACAAUCCCACAUUAGAAAAAUAUAAGGAAAAAGAGAUUUAAAUAAGAGGAGUAAAAGUUCAUUGUUGUUGGACUUUAAUAGGCAAUGGGUCAUGGAUGAGUUUUUUGGGUCUGGAUGUUUGGAAGUUAAUUAAAUUUAAUUUUUAAUUAUUUAUAUUGGCACUUAGUAGGGCCAUUAAAAUUUAUUUGACUAAAUACUCAAAUAAGUCCCUAAAUUAUACCAAAAGAGUCAAUUAAACCCAUAUCCUUUUAUUACGCUCAAAUAAACCCUUAAACUUUUAUUUUAGGUCAAAUAAACCUUUCUCACUAACUGUUAACUAACAGAAGUCAACAAUACAAUUGCCAAUUUUAUACCAGGUCAUCCAUGAUGUGGCAUGUUGACAUGUCAUUUUAUUUUAUGCGUGCAAACUUAUGUUAGUAUCCAUAUUAAACGGAAAAACCAUCCUUCUCAAAGUGAAAUUACUCCUUAUAAAUUUGUAACACUCUUCUUCCUUAUCUCCUGCCUAAGUAAAUAAUCUGUCAAAACUCUUCUUUCAAUAGAAGAAAAAAAGAACAUUAAAAACCAUAAUGAUGAACCGUUCAGGCUUGUUUGACAAUAUCUUGCUAGAAUUGUCUAAGGGCUAGAACUGUUUAGGCUUUUUAUAGAACUUAUGGUUCUAAUAUUUUCGAGAUGGGGUUUAGAGCAACUAGAUCAAGGUUUUUGCUAGAAUUGUCCAAGCUUUUGAUAGAAACUGUACUUCCAGGAUGGGAUUUAGAGCAAGAAAAUCAGCCCUUAAAGAAAAGCCUUUCUCUUACGAAUCAAUCUAUCCCCUUUAUAGUUGAUUAUGGAGUUGCUUCACAGUUGGAAACUCGGUGAGAAUGAGAAUUCAAAGCUUGAUACUGAUGAUUAGCAUAUCCCAUAUAUUGAAGAGAAAUAUUCUUUUGAAAUCAAAAUUGAACUUCCUAACGUUAGACGAAGCACUCUUUGUAAUCCCUAACACAUAGUUAUAAGAAUAAAAUUUAACCUUUUUUUUUAAAAUUCAUUAAGUUGAUAAACAAAUAUAAAUUGAAGAUGAGUCUCCCAAGCCUUAAGUAGAUAUUCAUUCUAAAUGUGUUAUGAUCAUGAAAGACUUCUCAAACAUCAUUUUCAUUUAGAUAAUCUCUAAACCAUGACGUUUGGGUUUUUUUUUCAAACCUAAUUUAUUUUUUUUGGUUAAAACCCUAUGUUAAGAAUAAUCACGACUUAAUUUGAAGUAAUUAGGGUUUUUCUUAAAUUAUUUAUUUAAAAUCUCUAACUUAAUUAUUUUUAGACAUUUGGAUGGGUAAAAAAGGAAAUCCAAUUUCUAAUUAGCAAGUUUUAAUGCCAUGUGGCAUUGACAUAAUCAAAAUGACAUAUCAACAUGCCACGUGGCAUAAAAUUGCUUAUUGUAUAGUUGACUAACUUUCGUUAGUCAACAAUUAAGGAAUGGGGCUUAUUUGACCCAAAAUAAAAGUUCAUGAGCUUUUUUGGAUGAAAACAAAAGGAUAAAGGCUUAAUUGACUUUUUUAUAUAGUUUAGGGGUGUAUUUAGGUAUUUAGUCAAACUAUGUUUUUAUUUUUUAUCAACAGAUAACUAUAAUCAUUGGAAACAAACAAAAUAAUUAUGUUUGUGGUUUGAAAAAUAAUGUCUAUUAGAAAACCAACAGACAUAACUGCUAGAAAAAGAUAGAAAUAGAUUGUGUUUAAAACAAACACAAUUGUAUCUGCUAGAAAACUGUCUCGAUUGCCUAAAAAUAAGACCUUACUUUGAAGCAAAAAAGACAAAGAAACAAUGAUAGAACAAUCUCUCAUUUCUUUUCAAUAUUUUUUCAAAUUUUCUCCUAUAUCAUUUUAUUGUAGAGAAUCAUAUAAAAGUCUAGAUAAUCUAGCCAUACAUCAAUGGAUGCUCAGUGGAUUGACUUCGUCGAUGCUAUAAUACCCCAACCUAAGUAUACUUACAUUAGUAUAUUUAUAAAAUCAUAAAUUAGACAAAUAAGUCCUUUAUUAAAAUUUCUUAUAAAAUAUUUGGGUUUAUAUUAGAAUAGUUUUUAUGCUAGGGACCUUUUAGCAAAUGGAGUAGUUUUAUUUUAGUUGGAGUUAGGUUACAUUAUCAUGUAAAAAAAAAUAGUUAAUUAUAUCUUAUCACAUUUUAAAAAGAAGAUCAAUCAAUUUUAUCCAAGUAAGUUUGAAAAAGAAGGCAGUAAGACAAAUCAUUUGGGAGAAACUAAUGAAGAAGAAAAAGAAGAAGAAGAAGAAGGCAGAAAAAGGGAAGACCUAUUCAAAAAAAGCAGUGAUUAAGGUAUGAUUGGGCUUUAACUUUAGUUUAUGUUUCUUUAACUUCCGUUCAAAUCCAAUACUAAUUCGAUAUUAUUCCGCUGACUUUUCAAUGGCAUGAUGGGUACCAAUGGAAAGAUCUUAAAAAGAUCUUUCUAAUGAUUUUUUGUAGUAUCUUGUUUGGCUUUGUGGUUAAGAAGAUAUAAAUUUUUAAAGUUGAUUGGAAAUCUAUUUUUAUAAUCAGGUUUUUAUUGGCCUUUUCUUUUAAAGAUGCUCAUAAUUUGGUUGAAAGAUGUGAUAAAUGUCAAAGAGUAGGCAAUAUAUCUAGAAAACAUGAGAUGCCUCUCAACAUCCUAGAAGUUGAAAUUUUUGAUGUGUGGGGAAUUGAUUUUAUGGGUCCAUUCAUUACAUCCUUCAAUAAUGAAUACAUCUUGGUUGCUGUUGAUUAUGUCUCUAAAUGAGUCGAAGCUGUUGCAUUGUCAAGGAAUGACUCUAAAGUAGUGAUAAAUUUCUUGCUGCAAAGGAACAUCAUCAUACGUUUUUGUACACCUAGAGCCAUAAUUAGUGAUGAAGGGUCUCACUUCCGCAACAAAAAUUUUGAGGCACUCUUGGCCAAAUAUGGAGUCAAACACAAAAUAGCCACUAUUUAUCAUCCUCAAACAAGUAGCCAAGCUGAAGUUUCAAAUUGAGAAAUUAAAAGAAUUUUGGAGAAGAUUGUUUAUCUUUCUAGAAACGAUUGGUCUAAAAAAUUGGGUGAUGCUUUAUGGGCUUAUAGAAUUGCAUACAAAACUCUAAUUAGGAUGUCUCCUUAUAAAUUGGUGUUUGGAAAAGCUUGUCAUCUUCUAGUUGAGCUUGAACACAAAGCAUAUUGGGCAAUUAAAAAUCUUAAUUUUGAUCUUCAAGCAACCAGAGAAAAGCAUCUUUUGCAACUCAAUUAGAUGGAUGAAGUUCGUCAAGAAGCAUAUGAGAGUGCAAGGAUCUACAAAGAAAAGACAAAACGAUGGCAUGAUCAGAAAAUCAUAAGAAGGAGUUUUAAGCCUGGCCAACAUGUUCUCCUAUACAAUUCUCGUUUGAAAUUAUUUCCUAGAAAGUUGAAAUCUCGUUGGUUUGGCCCUUUCACUAUGAUGAGAGUAUAUCUUCAUGGAGCAGUAGAGGUGGCUGAUGAUAAAUCAACCUUCAAAGUGAAUGGGCAAUGAUUAAAACAUUAUUAGGGUGGUGAUUUCGAUCGUCAGAAUACCUCAAUCACACUUAUCAACGCAAUUUGAAUAAAAAAAAAGUCAAGCCGAAGACUAUAAAAUCAAGCGCUUCUUGGGAGGCAACUCAAGCAUUGUAACUUAAUUUCUUUUAUUUUUAUUUAUUCCAUUAAAUUAUUAACAAAUUAUUUUUUUAUUUUGUAGGUACCAUUAAAGCCCUUCCUCUCUUAAAAAAAUCAAAAAGGAAAGAGAGAGAGAGAGAGAGAGGUAGGUCAUGACUCCCACUAGGGGAGGCCACGGCCUCCUAAACUUACCAUGACAUGGGCCGUGGCCUAAAAAAAAUUGGAGAGGGUAGGCCGCGACUUCCCCAAAGGGAUGUUGUAGCCUAACGGAGAAAACCAACGUGGGCUACGGCACCCCUGUUGUGGGCUGCCAUAAAUGGGCAGCCCAUUACCCAUAACCUUCCCCCCCCCCCCUGAUGUGGGCUGCCAACAAUGAGCAGCCCAUUGCUCAAUAAAACUCCUUUCUUUUCUUUUAGUUAUUUUUAUUUUAUUAAUUUAUUUCUCUACAUUAAUCUCUAUUUAUUUUCUUUUUGUAGUAAAUAAAAAAACAUCCUUCUAGAAGUGAGAAUGAGGAAGAUGACGAUAAGGAAGAGAAGGAGGAUUAGAACUUCACGACAUUCAUCCAACCAUCAAGGGAGUAUUCUUUACCUUUCUUUUAUUUUAUCCAACAUUGAAGACAAUGUUUAGUUUAAGUUUGGGUGGGGGGGAAGGAAUUUAUUUUUCUAGUGGUAAAUAUUUUGUGCAAGUUUUAGAUUUAAUUUAAGUUGCAUGCUUAUCUCGAUUUACAAAUAAUUUAGGAUUAGUUGGUAAAUGAAUUUAUUAUUUUUGAAUUUUAUGAAUCUAGAGUAAAGUUGUGUCAAUUUUUUUCAAUGCUUUCCCUAUCCAAUGAUGAUAACUAGUUGUCUUUAAUUCUUAACUUUUGGUAAAUAAGGUUUUUGUUUAGAUUCAUGCUAAAUUCUUUUGUUAAGUAUCAUUGUUAGGAUGUGAUUUCCACAAUUUUGAAUACUAUAUCUUUUGCUUUGAAUUAUUGUGAAUAUCUAGAGAAGGUUUAUACUGUUGUGAAUUUUAGAUUAUGCAAUGAAUUCUAAAAUUUGCUUGAUUCUCUCUCGACGAGAAAUCCUAGGCAAUACUUUGUUAGGGAGAUGAUUUAGGCCAUUUUUGGACCGUUUGAGCUUAAAAAGCCAACCUUGUUAAAUUUUUAUCCUUAGUAUACCCUUUUCAGCUUAAUUUAUCUUUUCUUUGUUUAGCUACAUAAUAAUUGAGCCUAGCCUUAAAAUAAGAUUUUCAAUUUUAUAACCCUCACUCCUAAGCAUGCAUAUUGUUUUAGAAAAUAUAGAAUGAGUUAAAUGUUAAAAAAGGUGAAAGGUGAUGUUGAUAUGAAAAAAAUAAAAAAUUCAAAAUAUGAAAAAUCACCCUACUACCUAUAAUACAAAGAAAAUAAGUUUAGGGAUCUAAAAUUGUGAAAUUGAGGAAAAAAAAAGUUCAAUUGUGGAAGAAAAGAUGUACUAGGAGAAGGAGAAUAGAGCUAUAUAUAUAUGUUCUAGAAUAAUUAUGUGCUUAGGUUGAUUUGAGCAACAUUAUUAUCCAUUAUCCUACCUUGACCCUAGCCAUACAUUACAAGCCUUAUAAAGUCCUGUUGAUUCCCAGCUUUGUGUUAGUCUACAUUAGUGGAGAGAGAGAUGAAAAGUAAACCUAUGGAGUUCUAGUAUUGAUUUGAAAUUUGUGGUGGCAUAAACCCAUCCAUAUAUCAUGAUAUUCCAAGUAAUAGAUUUCACACACACAUGAAAAUCCAUUAGAGAAUGUUCUUACAUUGGAAUUUAAACAUGAAUUUGAAAUAUGCUUAAAUUUUUUCCUUAAGUUAAGGAUUGAUAGAUAUACUUUUGAGGAAAUUAUGGGUAAUCAUGGAGUUGGUGCACUUUAUCUUUAGUAGUAGUAACUAUAUUUAUUUUAUUUUCAUUUGAAAUUGAUUUUCAUAGUUUAGUUCUUUUAUAUGUUUUGCUCAAGGACUAGCAAACUAUUAAGUUUUGAGGUGUGAUAACUCUAUGAUAUAUAGUUAUUUAGGCUAAAUUUUGAUAGUAAUUUAGCUUAGUAAUUAGUAUGUUUUAUUUAAAUUAUUUUAGAUUAAUUAAUUUAGGUGAGUCAAUUUAAUCUUAGUUAAUUUUAUGCUUAAUUUGGUAUGAAUGUGAUUAAGAUAGGUUGUUGUGAUUUAUUUGUGCUUUUGUACGUGUUUAAUGAAGAAAUAAUUCUAAUGAAAGAAGGAGACCAAUUUCAAGGUGCAAACUUUCAUUGCACAUAUUUCGGUAUUUUGACCAUAAAUUUCUCUACAGAGAAAUACAUAUCCUUUAGGAUUCUAGACCAGAAUCAAUUUCCAUUAAGAUUAAGUAAUUAAGCAAAUACAAUUCCAAGUGACAUAUUAAAGGAUACCAUAAUCCUAGACUAUUAAACCAUUACUCCCACCUCAAUUUGUUAUUUGCACAUCUUAGAUUAAUAUUAGUUAAUUAGAUUACUUUUUAAUCAUUUCUCAAAAUUUGGUGCUUGGAUAAAAUUGGCUUAUUUUAAUUUUAGUAAUUAGCAACAACUAGUAAACCAACUCCUCAAGGGAUCGACAAACUCAACUUAUCAUUGUAUUACUUGUUGUGAUCGCGUACACUUUCACGUAGUCUUUGCUUGUAUUUUCCAUUUAAUUUUGAGCACAUUUCACAUCACACAAGCAAAGCACACAACAAUACUAAGGUAUUUAAAGAAAAUAAUAAACUAUGGUCUUUGUAAAAAUGUCUAUCCAUCAGUAUUUGAAGGAUAUUUGGAUGCUCGCUAGAUUCCAAGUUUAGAAGAUCAUGCUUCCACAAGUGGAUCGACUUUCAUGCUUAGUGGGAGUACUAUUUCUUAAGUGUCCAAAAAAUAAACAUGUAUAACGAAUUCUACUAUAGCAGUCAAAUUUAAUGCCUUUGUUGCUGCCACUAAAAAAGCUGAAUAGCUAAGAAAUUUACUUUAUAGUAUACCUUUUUGGCCUAAACCAAUUUCAUGAAUUUCUAUCCAUUGUGAUAUUGAAGCAACUUUAGCAAAAGCGUAUAACCAAGUAUAAUGGAAGGUUUAGACAUAUUGGAUUAAGACAUAGCUACAUUUGAUAAUUAAUUUUUGAUAAAGUGAUCACUAUAACUUUUGUGAGGUCUACAAAAAAGUUGGCAAAUCCUUUAAUGAAAAGUCUUACUAGAGAUUUUGUAAAUAAGACCUCAAAAGAGAUAGGGCCCAAGCUAAUAAAUUGAAAGUCACCCAUGGUGUAAACUCGACCCAACGCUUGGUAUAAAGUCAAUACUUAAGUUCAAUGAGACAAAGUAAUAAUGUAAUAUACUAUAUUUUAUUGCAAGUAAAGUGCUAGGUACCCGUAAUAGUAAAGAAAAUAUGAGUUAUAUACUCUUAAUAGACCCAUAACAUAUUUGUUAGAAUGCUUUAAGUUAUAGAGGCGUUCUUAAUGGGAUCUACCUAUGUGACUGUAAAGUGUAGCUGUUUCUAGGAACUCAUGAGCUUGUCUAGCCGUUUCUAGGAACUCAUGAGCUUAGUUGUAAUAGCACUCAUGAAAAGAAGAUGUUGACGCAUGGCCAUAAAUACUGUGCAUUCAUUGGUAUCGAAAUCAAUGUGUAAGAUGUGUUUGGUUAACCAAAUGGAAUAGCUGGUUUAAAGUAUAGUCUACCAUGCAAUUUCAAUUAACUUUAACUCGUUUUCACUAAGUGAAAGUUCAAUUGGAAGACACGUUCAUUUAUGCAAUUAAUGUCCAAGAUUAUAAAAAAUUUACAUUAUUUUCAAAAUAAUGGGGGAUUGUUGGAUAUUUUCAAAAAUAAUGAAUAAGGGACACAAUCCCACAUUGGAAAAAUAAAAGGAAAAAGAGUCAUUUAAAUAUAUAGGAGUAUAAGUCCAUUGUAAUUGGAUUUUAAUACGCAAUGAACCGUGGAAGGCUUGAAUUAUAUAAAACAAAAAUAGAACAAUAUUUUUUAGUUCGAUGAUCAAACAGUUGUAUUUUCUGAUAUGAACGAAAGUUUCCUUCCAUUUGCUUGCCAAUUCAACUAAGGAAUCAUGUCACAUGUGCACAAAUUACUAAUAUCGAAGGCCAACCAGAACUUUAAAAUCCCCUUUCCCAAGUUGGGUUAAAGCUAUUAGAUGUUCAGAAAUUUUUAGGCUGUAGAUGUUUCAGCAACUGAUUGUCCUACGUCUGUUUUGAGAGUAAAGAGUAAGAAAUACAAACUAAUUAAAUUUGGAAAGCAAGUCUCUCAAGUAGGUUGGGCUUGGAUUUUUCCUUCCAUUUUAGGGGGGCAUGGUCUAACACUAUUUAGCAGUAGUAAAAAUCGAGAAGUUUUGUGCUUUGAUAAUGAAAAGUUGAAGCUAAGAUUUUUUCCAAAUAAUGGAGAUGGAAAAUGGCAAAGAAAAUCUUGAAUGUUUCUAAUUUCUAUAGCUUUUUUCUAUAGUUCCAAGUUUUUCAUGUCCCUAAUGAUUAUACAAAUUUGUUGUACACCACAAUCAACAUCAAGUGUUUGGAAGAUGAAUAUUAUUAUAAGGAGCUGUAGGAAGAAUUAAGAUCUUCCAUUUCCAUUAAUUUGACUUUAGCAAAUCCUGAAGGGUCCCAUUUCAUGAAAAUUGCUAUUGUUUCAUUAUUCAGGCAAGCCUUUAAUUAUUAGUAACACAGUUAAUUAAUCAUUUACCUUGAAUUAAACAUAAGACAAGUCUGAGUGGGGUAAGCAAAUUUCCUAUUUAGGCCAUCUAAGUAUUCACACUGAAUUUAAUGAAGCCCUGAGGUGGAUUUAGGCUUGCUCUACAACUUGGAGUGACUUUAAUAUAUGUUUUACAAUGAAAUAUGGAGUUUUGAGAAAUUCGUGGGGUGAUGCUAACACUUACCAGUCAAACAUUGAUGUUCUUUUAAUCUCUCUUGUCUAGAGGAUGACAUUAUUCUUAUUUCUUACAGCUAUUAGAAAAGUUGAAGAAAUUUAUGAAUAAUCAUGAAUUGUAUUCAAGCAAAGAGAGAUAAACAACCAAAACCAAAAGAGCUAAGGAAGAAAAUUUAGGAAUCAAAAACAAAUUGGAGGAAAAAGCCAGCUCACUCAUUUUCAUAUUGGUAUUUAUAUGACAAAAACAAACCGUGCCUAGCAAGUCGACGUUGGAGAAUGUAAAGCAUUGAGGAAAAAUAGCUAAGAAUUGGAUUUUAGACAUGGAAUUCUAUGCUUUACAACGAUUAUUCAAACAUCUAUGAAAGUAAACAAACAAACAAACUGACACAUGGCUUAACAGCCUUAAAAAGGAUAAACAAAAUGACAUAAGAAAUGGUGUUUAAGCCACCAUAAGAAAUAACAAGUAAAAUGAUAGGAUUCUAUGCAUAUUAAACACUCAUUAACUGAAAGAAUAAAAUGUCACCAUACACCUAUUUCCUUUUUUCCUUCAACUAGUAGUUGAUUCUCGUCCAAAUUCAUUCUUCUUCCUCUUUAACAAGCUAGAAUCAGUGAGUCUUCAACACACCUCCUUGAUUCCAGAUAAGUAAACUCCUAGUUUGUUCCUUAAAAAUUCAAAUAGAUAUGAGUUUACUCCUUUAGUGAAAAUAUUAGCUAGUUGCUCUUUUGUAAGGUAGUAUUCCAGUUCUACUUCACCUUCCUUCAUUGCAUCUCUGAUAGCAUGGUACUUCACUAUGAUGUGUUUUGUUCGACUGUGUUGUAGUGAAUUUUAAGCAAUAGCCAUAGCAGAUUGAUUGUCUACAUAUAAUAGUGUUCCCUUGUUCUAUGAAAAUCGAAAUUCAACUAAUAUUUUCCUCAACCAAAGUGUUUGGUUUGCAAUUGAAGCAAUAACAAUGUACUCUGCUUCUCCAUAUGACUGAGCUACUACUUUCUACUUCUUUGAACUCCAAGAAACACACCAUUUUCAAAGGAAAAAGAGUAACCACUUGUACUAUUAGAGUCAUCAUAGGAACCAGCCCAGUCACUAUCAGUAAAUCCCUAAAGUUCACCACUUUCAGUCUUCAAAUAUUUCACACCAAAAUCAACAAUACCUUUGACAUACUUGAGAAUGCAUUUGGCUACAGUAAAAUGUAUAAUUGUUGGAGCUUGCAUAUACCUGGACAGGAGACUUGUUGCCAACAUUAAAUCUAGUGUAGUUGUAGCAAGAUAAAACAGGGAACCAAUAAUGCUUCUAUGGUUGCAUAUACCUUUGAUGCCUGUUUUGAAGCCUUCCACUAAAGAACCACCUACCUUGGAACUUAAACCUUUGCCUACACACUUAAGGUAUGCUUUUCUUGAAAAAUCCUCUACGUCUCCAAUUAUUAUUUCUGCUUCUUUUACUAACAUGAAGGAAAUCAAGUUAUUGAGGAUACUUAAAGAAUUCAAGAAAGCAUUUGGGUGGACCAUAACUGAUAUUAAGGGAAUUAGCCCUUCUAUCUUCAUGCAUAAAAUCCUUCUUCAAGAAAUCAUAAAGCCACAAUUGAACAUCAAAGAAGAUGAAUCCCAUCAUGAAAGAAGUGGUCAAGAAAGAAAUCAUUAAGUGGCUGGAUGCUGGAAUAAUUUAUCCUAUUUCUGAUAACUCAUGGGUAAGUCUGGUCCAACGUAUUCCUAAUAAAAAGGGGAUGACUAUGGUCUCCAAUGACAAUAAUGAACUCAUUCCAACAAGAACUACGAUGGGAUAAAGAGUUUGCACAUAUUACUAUAAGCUCAACAAAGCUACAAGGAAUGAACACUUCUCUCUCCCAUUCAUUGAUAAAAUGUUGGAUUGACUGGCUAGUAAGAAAUAUUAUUAUUUUCUAGAUGGUUAUUCUGGUUAUAAUUAAAUUUCUAUUACCCUUGAAGAUCAAGAAGAGACUACCUUUGCAUGUCCUUAUAGACCUUUUCUUUUAAAAGAAUGCCAUUUGGGUUAUGUAAUGCACCUACCACCUUUCAAAGAUGUUUGAUGGCAUAUUCACAGACAUGAUGGAACAAUGUUAUGAGGCAUAUAUGAAUGAAAUUUUAGUUUUCGGAAAUAAUUUUGGUGAUUGUCUUAUGAAUCUUGUUAGGGUACUAAAGAGAUGUGAAGAAACAAAUUUGGUGCUCAAUUGGGAAAAAUGCCACUUCAUGGUGCAAGAAGGUAUUAUUCUUGGGCACAAGAUUUCUAGUAGCGACAUUGAAGUGACAAAGCAAAGAUUGAAACAAUUGAGAAGCUACCACCUCUAAUAAAUGUCAAAGGUAUUAGAAGUUUUCUUGGUCAUACUAGUUUUUAUCAAAGAUUUAUCAAGAACAUUUCAAAAAUUUCUAAACCACUUUAUAAUUUAUUGGAAAAAGAUGUAUCAUUUAAUUUUCAUAAUGACUGUCUUGUUGCUUUUGAUGAAUUGAAAGAAAGAUUAAUUUUUGUAUCUAUCAUAAUUAGUCCAGAUUGGACUCUCCCUUUUAAACUAAUGUGUGAUGCGAGUGAUUAUGUGGUGUGAGAUGUUUUGGGAAAAAGGAAGAUUAAAACCUUUCAUUCCAUCUAUUAUGCUAACAAAACUUUGAAUGGGGCACAGAAAAAAAGCUUUUGACUAUAGUUUUUGCUUUUAACAAAUGUUACUCCUAUCUAGUUGGGACAAAACUGAUAGUGUACGCUGACCAUUCAGCUAUCAAACAUUUGAUUGCCAAAAAGGAUGCUAAGCCAAGAUUGAUAAGGUGGAUUCGUUGCUACAAGAAUUUGAUCUAGAGAUUCAUGACAAAAAAGCAACAAAAAAUCAUGUGGCAAACCACCUCUCAAGAUUGGAGAAUGAAGCUCAAGGUAAGGAUUCAACCUUAAUCAAAAAGACUUUCCCUGAUGAACAAAUCCUUCAAGUGGGUAAGAAAUCAAUUCCUUAGCAUGCUGGCUUUCUGAAUUAUUUGGUAUGCAAUAUUAUUCUCCCAAAUUUAAAUUUCAAUCAGAAAAAGAAAUUGUAGCAUGAUGUUAAAUUUUAUUUUAGGGAUGAGCUUUUCUUCAUUAAGUAGUGUAAAGACCAGAUUUUUAAAAAAUGUGUCCCAGAGAAGGAAAUUCAAAGCGUGCUUCACCAUUGCCAUUGUUCAAAUUAUGGAGGACACUUUAGAGGAAUAAGAACUGUUGCCAAAGUCCUCCAAUCAGGUUUGUAUCGGCCUACAUUAUUUAAAGAUGCUCACAAUUUUGUUUUGCAUUGGGACAUGUGCUAAAAAAUGGGUAAUAUCUCAAGGAGAUAUGAGAUGCCUCUCAACAACAUCCUUGAGAUAGAAAUUUUUUAUAUGUGGGGUAUUGGCUUCAUGGGUCUUUUCAUAUUUUCAUACAACAAUAAAUGCAUCUUGCUUGUUGUAGAUUAUGUCCUCAAGUGGGUUGCAAUGAAAACCUUUCCUCAUAAUGACUUAAAGGUAGCAAUGAAUUUCAUCAAGAAGAAUAUUUUCACUCAGUUUGGCACCUGCAGGGCAAUUAUUAGUGAUGAAGGGAGUCACUUUUGCAAGAAAUAUUUUGAGGACUCUAGGCUAGCAAUUCAAUCUAUUGAAAUAAGUUAAGGAAGAGAGGUAAGAUUUAGAUCAAGUGUGAGGGAUAUUGUAAUCUUAGGCUUGGUUCUAUUGAUUUUUAUCAGAUUUUAUUUCUUCUUUGAUUUUGUUAAUUAGUUUUGAGAAUUUUUAGUUUAAAUAAUUAUUUGUUUUUUGACCAUUUGGAUAAAAUUAAAUUGUGUUAUUUUUAAUACUUGGUAAAAUCUUUAGAAUAAUUAUCUGUAGGAUCAACAGUCUAUUUGCCAUUAUACUAUCCUCAGCAAUAAGUAUACUUGCAUGAGCAAAAUUUUAACUGACAAUGACUGGAAGAUUGCCUAAAUUCCAUUCCCAGAAAAUAAGACAUUAGUCUUAAAUCAAUCAUUUCAAAGACUUUUAGCAUCUGUGACUUGAACUCAGUUAGGCAUUCAGUUUCUAGACUAGUAACUAGCAAACAACAACAAUGCCACUAUAAGCUUAACUAUAUCAUUUUUUUUAUAUUAAGUGUUACUUCAAUAGUGCUUCUCAUGAAUCCCUAGUUUAGUAGAUGAUCAUUCAUCUUUUCAUACCAAGCCCUUAGUACUUGUUUGAGACCAUAUAAGGCCUUCACUAACUUGCAAUCUUUGUUUCCAUAACCCUUCUUUACAUAUCCAUCUGAUUGUUCUACAUAAAUAUCUUCCUUCAAGUAACUAUUCAGAAAAGUAAACUUUAUGUCAAAAUGAUAAAUCAGCCAUUCUUUUUUUGCAAACAAAGCUACUAGUAACCUAAUGGUGUCAUGUCUUGCAACAGGUGCAAAUGUUUCCAAGUAGUCUACACCAUAUACCUGUGCAAAGCCCUUGAUUACUAGCUUGGCUUCGUAUCUGUUGAUAGAUCCAUCUGAUUCAAUUUGCUUUUAAAAAUCCAUUUAACACCUAUGACAUUAUGAUUUUUAGGCCUAUUUACCAACAAUCAGGUCUUAUUCUUCCUUAUCAUCAUCAUUUCAACCUCUAUGGCUUGUUUUCAAUGCUCAUCAGUAACAACUUCAACAUAAGAACUAGGUUCAAUGAUUGCCAAAUGACACUUGGCAUAUAUGUCUUCUGAGCUUCUAGUUCCUCUCACAGGGAUCUCAUCCGCAUUUUCAUAUAACUUUAAGUUAGACUCAUCUUCUGGCAACAGAUUAGAAACAAACAAUAGAAUUUUCUAAGCUUUCAACAUUCUUCGAUUCCAAUUCCACAUCUUGUUCUCAUACAACAUCACAUCUCUACUUAUAAAGAAUUUCAUAUUUUUGACAUCUAGGAGUCUGAACCCUUUUGGUACUUCACUAUAUCUAAGGUGGAUAGCCAAAAGAGACUUAUUAUCCAACUUGGUCCUCUUUGCAUCUAGAAUCUUAGAAAACAUAUACAUCCAAAGACUUUCCAAUAUUUAACUGAGGGUUUUAUUUCACACCAGGCUUUAUAAGGUGUUUUACCAACCAAGGCUCUAGUAAGUGCCAAAUUAAAAAGAUAGUUAGUAGUGUUAACUACUUUUGCCCACAAUAACUUAAGCAACUUAUUUUCAAAUAACAAGCACCUAGCCAUUUCCAUCAAAGUCCUGUUCUUUUUCUCUAACACACCAUUCUGUUGGGAGCUAUAUGAGACAAUAAGUUGAUGCAUAAUGCCAAACUUGCUUAAAUAGUCUUUAAACUUCUUAGCGAUGUACUCAGUCCCAUCAUCACUUUUGAGCUUUUUACAGUCAGGCUCAUCUAAUUUUAAACUAAGUUUUUGAACUUAGUGAACACACUUAAUGCAUCAAACUUCAUUUUCAUGAAAUGUACCUAACAAAACCUUGUACAAUCAUCAAUUAAUAGUAUAUCGUACUUACUUCCAUUCAAGGAUGAAGUCUUCAUAAGGCCUUAAAGAUCAGUGUCUAGUAGUUGUAACUUUUUUGUUACAUUCUAGGUUCUAGUUUUUAGAAAUGAAACAUUUCUCUGCUCCCAUACUGACACACCUCACAAAUCUUCUUAAUGUUUACCAUUAAAGGCAACCCAUCAACCAAGUUAUCAAAGCCCAUUAACUUAAGUGAACCAUAGUUCACAUGACCAAACCUUCUGCGCCACAAUUUUGUAUCAGAUAAAAUGCAACUAUAAACAAUGUGCUUGACUUUCAUCUAGUUUAAUGGGAAACAUUUGUUUCUCAUUCCUACUGUGAAGAGUUCUAUUCUAAUUGGAUAUUUCACAAUGCAAACCGUGUCUUUAAAGUUUACUUCAAAGCCUUCAUCCACAAGUUGGCCUACAUUUAGUAAAUUUUGACUCACAUCAGGAGCAUAAUAGACAUUUGCCACUGAUUUGAUUCCACUAGGUGUCUGCACUCUUAUUGUACCAAUUCUAAAGAUUAGUAGAAAAUCACCAUUUCCUAUUUCCAUUUGAGUUCUGAAACUUUCAUUCAAAUUGAGAAAACUCUCCUUGCAACUGAUCAAGUGGUUUGAAUAGCCACUAUCCAGCAACUAGAUGUCCUUCUUUUCUUCAUUGUCCAAGUUCCUAGCCAUAAACAGAACUUCAUCUUUAGCUUGAAACUCCUCAACCAUUGCUGCUUUCUCAUCAGCAUUCUUACCCUUGUUUUUGCAUACUUUUUCAACAUGUCCUUCCUGGUGACACGUCUUACAUUUAACAUUCAGUCUAAACCAACAACACUUCUCAGUAUGGUUUAUUUUCUUGAAAUGAGAACAUGGUGAAAAUGCUUUCUUUUGAUCCUUAUGUCUUUUUUCAUCAAUUUUUUUCCAUUUGUCUUCUUAUCUGCAUCAAUCCUCCUAGAGCUAUUACUACCAAGCUUUGAAUUUUUGGUUUUGGCAACUAAGGCACUUUCAAAUUAGGGAUAUUCUCUAAUUUCUACUUGUAUUGAUUUUUACCUCAAAAUCCUACUUCCUCUACACGAAGCCCUCAAGAUAUAAUUGCAUGAAUAGAUAUUGGGAAUACAAAAAAAUUUCAACAUGAUCCAUGGUGAAAAGAAGAGGACAAGUACCUAUUUCAAAAGUAGCAAGUCAAAUAUAAAAGUCUUUCCCAUCUUUCUCCAUAUUUCUCAUGUCUAUCAGAUCACCAAACCACAGCAAGCAUCUGCUUCCCCCCUCACUGAUACCUAGAUUUGCACAUGCAGUGCAAGCACAAUCACUUAAACAUAAUUGCCUACCUUCUUUGAUGUUCAUGGUCAUGUUCACCUUGGAAUGGGAUGUGUCUAGCAAUUUCAAACCCAAGCGCUUAAGAAAGCCAUAUCCAUUGUUACAAGUUAAUGGAGUUCUUCUAAUUCAUCCAUUAAACCAAUCUGCUGAAUUAUACUUUCUUAUGGAUUUGGGCAUGAACCCUUCCAAGCAUGAACACACAAGAGAGUCAUUUUCAUUACAGCUAGCAUAUGUUCCACAAAAGGCAUAAUUUUCACACUGAUCAAGAGACAUCGCUAAAAACUCCCAAUCGUGCAUUUGAUCACUCUAUAUAAGGCAUUGAGAAAAACCUGAUGGGAUCAGCACAAACCUUAAAACUACUAAGCUGUUUAUGAGCUCACUAGUAGAAUAUACUUCAUUCUCAAUCCUCAUAAAUUCAUUUUUUAAAACUGUAUUCACUCUUAUCUAAAGCCCUAGAAAGCCAACACCAUUCCUUGGUCCUGCUUUGUGCUUUAUUUUAGAUCCCUUCACAAGUAUUAGUUGUGGAUAUCCACUAAUAUAUGUACGUGAAAAGUAUUUGCCUAUAGUAGGAUCAUUUGUUCUUUUCCAGGAUUGCAAAAGCCUCUCAAAACUGGUAACAGAGUUCUUUCAAAUUUACAUUCCUAAAAGAAAUGUAUCACAAGGAUAAUCAAAACUUUACCACUAAUUUUCCUCAACUGGGUUGUUGUCUUUGCCAUCUCUCAUUACAAGAUUUCUUGCUUUCAGAAGCUGAGCAAUGGGUUCCUGUGUAGUUCUUGAUGUAUUAGAUGACCAAACAGUGCUAUUUGCGCUAUUAAAAAGUGAAAGAAUUCCAUGGUUGGAAAAAAGUAGGACUCCUUUAUUAUAAAAAAUUGGAGACUCUCUAUUUGCGACCCAUGCAAUUGUUCCAUUAGAUACUUUCUUGUACCAUGUUCCUAAAAAUCGACUUAUGGAGCUUACUCUAAGGUUGAAAAAUCUCAAUUUGAAGCUCUCAUUAGCUGAAACCAAGGUUUCACCAUCUUUAAAGGAUUGAGUUGGAGAAAGAGUAUUUAUUACAGUAGUAGUCCUUGAGAUGGAGAAUACAAAUAAAUAUACAAAAAGUAACAAUGAAACACCUUCCAUUGAUUAUCUGUUCACUCUUUUCUUCAAAGUUUGAAUAAAUCUUUUAGAAAAAUUUAGUAUACUAUUUGACAACUUGAAAUACAAAAGGGAAAAUCCAAAUCAUUGAUGGGUUUACAGGAAGUUUUCAUAAAGCGUGAAAGCUGUGAUAUUUUUUCUAAGGAAAGACAAACUCAUCACUAAUAGUUUUAUGGAAGUAGGAAACGCAUUGAAUUUAUUGGGAGUAAUAUCUAAAAAAAUCUCUAAAUUAUUUUUAAAAAAUUAAAUAAUUUCAUUCUUUUAUUAUAUUUAAUAAACCUCUUAUAUUUUAUUUUGAGUUAAAUAAAAGUUUUUAUAAUUAUUAUUUGACUGAGUCAAAAUGUCACUUGUCAUUCUAUGCCACAUUAUGCAAAUGUGAUAUGUUGAUACCUAAUAAUGGAUGAUGAUGAUGUGGCCUCUUGACAUGGCGUAAUGACAUGAUCAUGUAGUAUUUUCACUUUCCAUAUCAAUGUCGCAUGAGUAUGAUAACAAAUGACAUUUUAAUUAAUGAUGAUUAGUUAGCCACUAGUCAUAAGAGUUUAUUUGAUCAAAAAUAAAAAUAAAAACGUUUGAUUGAGCACAAUAGAAAAAUAAGGGUUUAUUUGAAUUUUCUUAAAUAAUUCAUGAGCUUUUAUUAGUAUAAUGUGAAUUUUUGUUACUAGAAAAUAAUUCUUGUAAUAUAAAAUUGUGUAUAUUACAUAAGUGAAUGAGGUAUAUGAAUUUUCUUGUAAAGAUUGUACAAACUGCCUAGCAACAAGAGCAAAGGCAAUUUCAUAAAUUUUUUACACUUUUCUUGAACUGAAAGAGUUGAGCUUUAUAAGGAUAGAGAGCCUAUUAGGUAUAGUUUUCAAUCCAUUAAACCAAUCUUGAUUUUAAGUUUUGUAGCUUAGGAUAUAGUCAUUUUAACGAGUGAUGUGCAAGCUAUCCAGUUUAUGAUUUAGGAAAUUUUAGAUUAUUUUACGUAGUUUCAAGUGAUAAUUAGAUUUUAGAGAGUUAAGAUUGUUUCUAAUAUGUUUAAAUGAUUGUUAGUAAGCUUUUGAUUGUUUUUGGGAGAGAGCAUGUUGCUAGAGUGAAGGUAGGUACAAACCUUGCUUGUUUUGAAACUAUCGUAUACGUAUAUUUCUUCAAAAAAUUGAGCAUUUUAUUUCAUUAUUUUCAAUAUAUGAAUAUAAAGUCAAACAUAUAAUUAUUUUCUUUUUUGGUAUGUAUUCAUAUGACGAAGAAUGAUUUACAAAUGUUUUUGUUCAUUCAUAUGAUGAAGAUUGAUUAUGAAUGCUUUGGUUUAUUCAUAUGUUAAAAAUUGAUUUAUGAAAGUUUUGGUUUAUUAAUAUGAUGAAGAUUGAUUUACAAAUGUUUUGGUUUACUCAUAUGAUGAAUACUGAUUGAUGAAUGAGAUGAAAUCUUCAAUUUUCUUUUAAUGAAUGCUUUAAGAGCUAUUAAAUGAACCCUAGAAAGUGAGAUAAUCAAUACCAAAACUACUUCUGUGGUCCUACUAACGGGUUAUAGUAAUUAGUAUAUGACCUUGUUAAUGGGUUACAAUAGUCAGCAUACGGUCCCGUUAAAGGUUGCAAUAGUUAGCACACAAUCUUGCUAAUGGAUUAUAGUAAUAUGCAUACAACCUCAUGUCACAUCCCAUUUUAUAAAGGGAUCAUGACCAGCACAUGGACCUAGACGGGUAUAGCUCGCUAAACCAUAGUAACCCUCCCUACAUUCAUUCAUUCAUUCAUAACUUGGCCCAUUUACCAUAUUCAUCAUACAUAAAAGCAUACAAUAUCAACACAUGCAUGCAACCAUUGGCAAUUACACACAGUUAUAGAACUUUUCAUAAAAAAUAAUGUAACUGCAUUCAUUUCAUAUUAUCAUCAUAGUGCCAUAAUCUCAUGCACUAUGCCAUAUAACAUUCAUCUACACCCUUAGGUGUCUAUGCAGGCUCUCAAGCCACCUUUGCAUAGGAAAAGUUAAAAACCAACUCGUAAAUAGAGCGUGAUCCAACUUUUUAGGCAUCAAGUUGUUGUUAAACACCUAUCAAAGAAAGAAGACCGUGAGCUAGUCUCUGUGACAAAGGCAGUAAACUACUCACUGAUCUGCAAGACAAAAAUAGGGAAAAUAACGUGUACUUGUAAUCACAUGUCAUUCAUAAAUCUAUGAAUAGAUAAAGACUCUGUGAAUGGAUACAAGGUAAGAGACAAGCCAAGGGUGAGAGUUUUUCAUGACCAUGCACUUGUAAUCACAUGUCAUUCAUAAAUCUUCCUUCACUUCCAUAAUGAUCAUGAAAAAUGGCAUUUAAAUACAUUCUCAAUCGCAUGUAAGUGAAAUUUUUUUUUGUAUAAUCCAUUAGAAACCAUUUACCUUUGAAAAUCCUUUUAAAACACUUGAAAACUCAUUUUUGUGAAAAAUCUAUUGAUACAUUAGAAAUGUAUCGAUACAUUUUACACAGAAUGCCUCAUUUUCCAUUCUAUCCUAAAUGUAUCAAUACAUAUUCUUCGUGUAUCAAUAUUUUAGGCACAAAACCCAUUUUACUAUGUAAAAUCCUACAUAUAACCUUUCCUUAUGUCCUGCUAUCUCAUAGGGUUAUCCUUCUAGGCUAGAAUUCAACUAACCAAACUUUCAUUUGUCACAUUCUAGCGUAUGUCUUCUCAUCAAUAUACAUUCAAUCAAAAACAUAAACUCAAGAUCAUUAAUUCAUAGAACUAUUCUAACAAGCCAUAAACAUUUCAUAACUUUUGAGUGUUCCUUAUCCUAUUCAAGCAGGUAAUGAUUUGAUCUUCGCUACCUAGGAUUCUUAGUCCCUUCUAUCAGUGGCAUAUCAGCCUCACCCACAAUCUUUGAGUGGUUUGCUCCAAGUCAAGCAGAUAGUGAUUAAUCCCCACUAUGGUCAUAGGAUUCCUCAAGUAUAGAAUCGUUCUCAUCCAUAACUUGCAUUGUAAAGUAAAAUCAUUGUCAUAAUUCAUUCUCAUGCUUAGCCUAUAGUGUAUAUGAAUUCUCAAUACAUACAUCUCAUGGCAUACAUUUCAUAUUUUAUCUCAUAAACCAUUCUUAUGCCUAGCCCAUAGUGUACAUGAUAUUUUCAACACAUACAUCUCAUGGCAUACAUUUCAUAUCUUAUCUCAUAAAUCAUCAUCAUAUCAUGGGAAGGAAAUCAUCAUCCUCUAAACCAAUCAUCAUACAUAACAUGCAUAUCAUAGUUGUUCAUAAACUCAUAGAUGGAAAUCAUGCAUCCUUAAACCUUUACAUGUUACAUUAUGUCAAGCAUGUACAUUAUACCAUUCAUAUCAUUUUGAAGAAAAACAUUUGAAAGGGCUUGUCCCAUCUUGUUAAAAACUAAUACAUAGUAGGAUAUUUACAUACAUAGUAGAUUCGCAAACAAUUUGAAAAUCAUUUGUGUUAACUCACACCACAAAUCAUCAUUAAAUAAACUUUUAAUCAUACCUUUCAAAAACUAGUUGAAAAACCUUGAACUCAAAUCCUUUGAUAAACCACUCUUUGAAACAAUAUUUCAUCAUGUAUAAUUAAACAUUUCCAUAAAAAUCAUGCUCACUUUACAUAUUAAAAUACUUGAAAAGGUGUAUCCACUCACCUAAUUGAAGACUCAAUCUCUAACAACAAUUAAAACUCUACUCUAGCAAUCUCUUUGAAGUUUUGAACCAUUCCUAACAUUCAACAAUCAUUACAAUCAAUAUCUAGAUUUAUAAUUUCAUAAUAGCUAUUCUAGGUUCUUUUGAAACUAAUCAGAUUCAUUGAAAACUAAUUUUCUAGCUUCAACCCACUGCUAUUUAACAUAAUAAAUUCUUAAGAACCAAUAAAUCCUUCAUCCUUACCUUAGGUGAGCUUUAGUGCUAAGGAAAAUUACAAAACAUUUGAGCUUUGUAAUCAACAGAAAAUAUGGGCAUAAAAAAAAAUUCUUAGUUCUAAAAAAUCAAGAUUUAAAGGUUCAAAGUUGACAAAUGUCACCUUGUUCAUAAAAACUUAAAUUUAAGUUUUCAAAUCUUAAAAAAUGGUGACUUGGGUGAAAAAUGGGUGUAAGAGAGUUAAGAGGUGAGGGCAUACUUGAUAAAAACAGCAAAGGGUCAGAAAUCCUCAUAAAAUGUGACCUAUUUAUACUUUGGAGCGUGAAAAUACAAUUUUACCCUUUUAUUUUUCUGAAAAUGACGAAAUGUGUCGAUACAUUGGGCCCAUGUAUCGAUACAUUGUUUUUUAGAAAAUUUCUAUCAAUACAUUUGGCCAUGUAUUGAUAGAUUUCAUCGAAAUCCUUUUGGAAAGCUUUCUAGAUAAAUCUAUUAAGACAUAUGGUCAUGUAUCGAUAGAUAUUCUUCAAACUUCAAUCUAUGAAUACAUAAAGAAUAUGUAUACAUUUGCUGUAGUACGUAAAAACACACUUAGAAACUUGUCCAAAUGGACUUCUUUUAACAUCUAAUCUUCCUAAACAUAAUAACAUUUCAAAACAUAAAUUUUUCUAAGGUUAGAAACCGAAUUUAAUGUUUCAAAACAAUAAUUUCACAUAAUAUAACUCCAACUAACUAAUAGGAUUCUCUUAACUGGAUAUUGUAGUUUAAUUAAGUAAAAGGUAAUAAUAUUGUAUUAUAACUCUUAUUAAAUAAUUUGUAUAAUUUUCUUAACAGAAUUUAUAAUUCAUAUUUCCCUGCGUUACUCAAAGGGAAUUUUCAAAGUCUAUGGUUGUGGCCCCGUAGACUAUUGAUUGACAAAGAAAUAUGAAAACCAAGGUUUUGAACAAGUUUGGUUUAGCUAUUUCGAUUGCAGUGCUGUUGUAUUUUUUUAUAUGAAAGAAGGUUUCACGUCCUUUUGGUUUGCCAAUUCAAUUAAGAAGUCUUGUCUUCUCACUUGUGCAUAGAUUACUAAUAUCAAAAUCUAGCAAGACCCCGCAAGUCCCCAUCAAUCAAGAUUUUCCUUUUCCAUUAAUAUGCGAAUAUGUAAGAAGGGGAUAUAUAAGUAUGAAAGAAAGGUAGAAAAGAUUUAUAUUUAUUUGGGAUUUAGUCAAGGAAAUAUGAUUGUGUCGUGUCCUAAUUUUAAGGCAUAACAAUCAUGUUACAAAAAAAUAACUCUAGUAUUAUAAAAUGAUAAUAUAUAUGUAUAUAUAAAUAUAAAAGAUUAACCUAUUCAUUAUGUAGAUAUAAUUAACUAACAGUAUUCUCUAAACUAUAUAUAGUAAUUUAACUAGGUAAUAGUAUCGUAUUAUAACCAAAUUAAAUAAUGGUAUAAUAUCUUAACAUAAUUGAUAAUAUAUAGCUAGCGUUUCUCAAUUGGAAUUUUGAAGGUCUAUGGUCGUGGCCCAUAAAAAACAAGGUUAUGAACAAGCGUGGUGUAACUACUAAAUUUUUUUUAUACGAAAAAAGGUUUUGCUUCCUUUUGGUUUGUCAAGUUCCCCGUCAAUCAAGAUUUUCCUGUUCCAUAAUUGAACAUAAUUAUUAAUUAUAUAUGUGAAUAUGUAAAGAUUAAGGGAAUUGUAACUAUAACUUCAAUUGUGACUUAUCUAUGAAUGAAAGAUAGAAAGGUUUCAUAUUACUUUGAGACUCAGUCUCGAGUUUAUAUAAUUGUGUUAUGUCUUGAUUUUGAGAUGUGAGAACCAUAUUAUAAGAAAAAAAAUCUUAUAUUAUAAAAUUAUUUAUAAAAGAAUUAAUUUUAUUCAUCAUCUAACUAUAAUUAACUAACAAUAUUCUCAUAAUUAGAUGUUGUAGUUUAAUUAAAUAAUGGUAUUGUAUUAGAAGUCUAAUUAAAUAAUUUAUAUAACUAAGGGGGAAAAAUGAAAAAAAUCAAUAACUUUAAAGGCCUACAAUACCCAAAUAUUCAAAUGAGACCUUUUUUAUUGAAAUUAAGAAAAAACAUUUUACUGUUAUUGAUUAGAAAUAGAAGAAAUAAUUGAGAAUUAUUAGCAUUAUGGGAAUUGGGAAAAGAUAAGAAAUAAAAGAUUUAUCAGGUAUAUAAUUAGGAAAGUAAGAAAAUAUUUUAUUUUAUCAAUUAUCUUGACUUUUACGUAAUUAACGAAGUGAGAUAAAUAGAUGAGAAUUAUUAACAUGUGAGAGGUGAGAGAAAAUAGAUUUUUUUAAACAUCUAAUUUAAAAAUAUUUUAUUAAUUAUCUUAUUUUUAUAUAUUUUUAAUUAAUUAAUUAUAUUAUUAUAAAAUUAUGAAACCUAUAAAAAUAUGAGAUGUUUUGAUGGCUUAUGCUAAAACCGGCAUUCUUAGCGGAAGGUUGGUAGGAAACAAAAGAUGGUUUUAUACUUGGGGUUUUGCAGGGAGGGCUCCAGACGGUUGGUAGGACAACAAAAAGAAUUUAAAAAAAUAAGGGAAGAAAGAGAAAAAAAGGACGGAGCGGGAAAAAGAGAAAGGGGAGAAGAAAGAAAGAAGUCAAAAGGCCUUUGGGAAAAGAAAAGGCAAUUUUUUGACCUCUUGCUUUAUAUUUUUUUUCUAAUUAGAGAAGAAAGAUUUAAAUUUUAUUUUUUAAAUAAAAAAUUAUAUAUUAAUUAAUGAGUUAAAUGCUCGGGUGUUCCUUCUCUUUUAUAUUUAAACUCACUUGCUUUAUGUAUUGUGCAUGAUCUUAUUUUUUUAUUUAAUAAAUUAAAAUGUAUUGGCCCCAAUAGAGUUCAUGGAGGAGCCUCAAUUUCAACACAUAUGCAACGCUCAAGGCACUAAUGAAAAUAUUACAAUGCUGAAAUUGAAACGAUUCAUGUAAAUUUAAGCAUUCACGCUGAAUUUAAUGAAGCCCGAGGUGGAUUUAGGCCUACUCUACAAUUUGGGGUGACUUCGAUCUAUGUUUAACAAUGAAAUUAUGGAACCUGCUUACUUAAUGCAGACUCAGCUGCAGGAGGCAGAUUACUUUCCGAGAAAAAGCCAGGCUGCUUCGGAUGAGGCAAUGUGCUCUCACCACACAACAUGAGCAGAUGGAAUCACAGAUGAGAUUAAAAAGGCACAGGAAAGCUUCUUGAUAAUGUUAAUGUCAAACAAUAUCCAAAUAAAUUCCACGAGAAAGCUAAUCAUAUAUAAAAAACAAAUACAAAUAACUAUGAAGGCUUGAAUUAAAGAAUAGUAUAGGACUAGCUAGCUUUGCACAUAGUAUAGUUUGAUUUACCUAUAGAUUAUACAUGUGCCUGCAUGUCUACUUAAUCUUAUAUUUUUAUUAAAUUUGAUGAAAAACAUAUAGUUCUCUCUCGUCCAUAAAUAAUACAUUCCUGAAUCCGUGAUUUUAAAAAGUCAAUUUUCAUAAUUCAUGCAAGUAUAUACACAUUUUUUAUAUUUAUUAAAAUUGAAGCAAACCAAAUCAUUUUGUGUUUUGGACUUAAGUAAACUAUAAUUAGGCAUAUAGGACUUAAGUAAACUAAACCAAAAACGACAUGAGUAACAUCGUUUUGAGUACAACGAACUUUAAAACAUAAAAGAGUAAAACGACACACUUUGGAAGCUCAGAAUAUUUGAUAAAGAAACGCCAUCGUUUUGCCUUAUAGAACUGAAGCUCCUCACUUGUUCUUCACAUGCUGUCACCACCAGAUUAUGAAUUACCUUUCAACAGACAAAUCCAACUACCGUGGCUCUAACAGGGUAACGGUGCACUCGUUUGCAGAAGAUGAUUUACAGUUGCUUGUUGAAGACUCAGCUUCAGGCAGAUUCCUCCCUGUGAAAAACCCUGGCUGCUUCGGUUGAGGCAAUGCACUUUCACUGCCUAGCAUUACAAUUACAGAAGACAUGUUUGGUCUAUCUUCUGGUCGCUGCUGCACGCACAAUAAUCCCACAUGAAUGCAUCGCAGCAUUUCAGAUGGCAAGCAAAAGUCCCCAA